UCCACAAAUGUACAAUUGGGGGAUCUCAAAAGCAAAAACAAUAACUUACUUUUAGGAGGAGCUGGAGGUAACCCAUUUGGGAACUCUAUCAAACUAGCAAGACCAAAGGAGACAUCUUUGCCAGUUUGAAGUGCUCGUUGACGGGUAGUGACUGUCAUUUCCUUCUUAGAGUCUGCUGAUAGAUCAGCUAACUCUUUUCUUGGCUUCUUCCUCUUCAAUGUAGGGUCACCAUCCGAGCCCAGAUCUUCAUCUUCCACAUAAUCAGUAUCAUCAGAUAUUCUCCCUGAUUUAGAUUUCUUACCCUCCUUGCCAAACCUAGUUGAGCCAUCAACUCCAGCAUCUACAUCAUUCAGACCAUCAACAUUUCUCUUCAAUACUCUCAAUAUCUUACGCUGUUUCCUGCUUCCUCCCUCUUCCUCUUCAAACCCUGCACCAUGAUUAGUGCUGAUCUUCGAUGUCUUGACUUUUUCAAGGAACUGAAUCUCAUCAUCAUCCUCAGCUCCACCGUCAAGAACUCCAUCUAAUAGGCGUUUCUUAGGGAGCCGCUUGCUCUUACGAACUGGCUCAGACUGAUCAGUUUGCUUUGAAGACAGAUUCUCACCUCUCAAACCAUCUGCUUUCCCAUCAUUUAGACCACUUCUAGAGAAAUCCUUCCAUGGGACUCCCUGCAAACCCCUUCCCUUACCUGAAGUAAAGGAAUGGUUGCUGUCCAAAUUCUCCUGCAAGAAGGAUGUUAGCUGUAACUAGUGGUGCUUAAAUAAUUAUCAAUCGUUAGAAGGCGCAGCAAAACACUGUCUGCAGGGCCAAAUAAGUAGUAAAUACAUGAACAAGGAUCUCUAAACAUGAAUUGAAAACUGAAAAGUUUGAGGAAUUUGUAACAAAUGAGAAAUUCUUAUGUGGUUCUGUUUUAUCUAGUUGGAGUGAAAGGAUUUGCCACUAGAAAGCAGCUAAUUUACAGUCUUACAGUCCUUGCAUCUAAGAAUAGCAAGAUGCCCAAACUUAAUAUUCUGAAUUUAAAUGAUCAAUACAUGUAAAACUUCUCCUUCUUAAUGUAAUACAUGCCGACGAUCUUUAUGGAUAUGACUAUCAAAACCUAAUGCAGAUGACGGCAUACCAGACAACAAAUUUUGAUGGGAAGUACCUCAACUGUCUUCUGCCGGGGAUCUGGGAAGCGAGAAGAUUUUGAAGAAGAAGACCCAACAGCAACAGCAGAUGCGCCAUCAGAUGCAGACUUUGCAGUAAUAGUAUGUGUGAUACCACCAACUUUUAGCUUAACUUUUUUCACUUUACUUUCAUUUCCUACUCCAUCUGAAGAACCUCCAACAUGGCCCAAGCUACUACUUGUGCUUUUCCAAUUAGCUGGGGCAAGGACACCUUGGCUCAACCUUCUAGAAUCAACUCCACUGUGCCUUCGCUCACUACUUCCUCGAAAAGAACCAUUAUUGGAAGCUUCAUCGGAUUCUCCAAAUCCUCCAUCUUCAUUCUUCAUCAUAUUCUGGGCAGAUUCACAGUCAUCAAGGUUAGAAGAUGAAGCUCUUGAAUUGCAUAGAAUGAAACUGACUUUUUUCUUUCGCAAAAUUGAACCAUGAUCAUUAUUUUCAUCACUUGACACUUUGCUUACAGUUUCUGAAGGUGGUGUGGAUGAUAAGGAUGUAACAUCAAUGUAACCUGAAGGCGCAUGCGAUUCAUUCCGUGGCCGACGGGAUGUAUUACUCCUCUUCUUCCUGACAGCACUGCUUGCAUCACUAAACCCAAAACCCUCCAUAAAAGUAAGGAGGCAGAAGCCUAGUUCUGCUGUUAUCUACCAGAGAGAGGAAGUUGAAAUACGUCACGAGAAACACAAAUUUUUCAAGGUAAAGUUUCUUAAUUGCAUCACAACUGAGCAGAUUAGGCACAAAACUGCAAGGAUCAACUCAUGCCAGACAGUGAAGGAAGUCCCACAUAACACAACACAAAAAACAAGUCGCAACCCAAUUCCACAUCGAUACAAUAACCACAGAACAGAUUCUCAUUUACUUCAUACUAAUCAAUUGGAAAGGGUACAAUAUAGCAGCAAAUACCUGUCUGAUAAUUGAGAAAGUGAAUGCUAUAAGUCACAUAACCUUUGUCGCCUAAACCGAAAAAGAACAGAAAAAAACUUAAUUUCAUUUAUAGAUUGCGGAUUCUACCAGCAAUUUUUUUUUAACACAGAUAGCUAUGUAACAACAAUUAACACAUUAGAAAGUGUUAGGUACUUAUUCAUGAACAAAAAGAAAUUAACACCACAGUUCCCUGCAAGACAAUUGGAAAAGAACCUAUACACAAAACAAUACACAAAAAGAGAAAAUUCAAAGUCAUUAAAAAUUGCCAUUUUGAUGCAUAAACCAGCUCAACAAGGCCAAAUUAACAUCACCAUUCAAUCACAGAUUCACCCUAUCCAACAUCUACCCGCCAAAACAGACACAAAUCCAGAUUCAUAGAAACGAAAUCAGCCAAGAAAACCGAAAGAAGUGCAGAUUCUUUGAAGCAAACACCCACAAAACAAAUCAAGAAACCCAAACGCAAAUCCUCUAAAAACACGAAAGAAACUACAUACAGACCGAGAACAAGCAAUUUACCUAUCUGGGUAGCGACAACAAUGCCUGAAAACCCUUGAAUCACCGUCUUAAAACAACCAUCAAGAGAGAUAGAGAAGAGGGUAUCUGCAAAAGUGGUUAAAGAUUGGAUUUUUGGAGGGUUAACGGGUACGGGUAGGAUGGUAGCCAGGUGGAGGUAGGUGAUUGGAUAGAGAAAGGAGGUGGUGGUGAUGGUGGGUCUUAGUUAAGGUAAGAUAAUGGUAGUGAUGUAAAAGACGAUAACAUGGUGAAAGACUCAUUAACAUCCUCAUCUUUGUAUGACAUACCACAGUUCUCUGUGUUUGUGCUUUUGUCUAUGGUCACCCUUCUUACAUACAGACCAAGCUCAGCUGCCUUCGCAGUUUGUUGGAUUAUUUGGUCCCUGUAUUUUUUAAUUGAUUUUUUGUACUUUGUUGGAUUGGCUGUACACUUUUCUUUUAAUUAAUUAAUUAAUUCCUUUAUUCUAGAUUUUUUUAAUGUGAUCUCUAUAAUAAUUUGUUAGUAAUAUGAUAUAUAUAUAUAUAUAUAUAUAUAUAUAUAUAUGUGCAUGUCUAUAUUAAAGAAAGAUAUAGAUAUGAGUAUUAUAAAUAUUAUUUUCUCUUUUAUAUUUAUUUUUAAAUAAAUCCAAAAAUAACUAAUAAAAUACAACUAAUCAUUCUCUAACUAACAUAAGAUUUCACCGCGAUCUCUCUAUCCAACUCCUUUCUAAUUUACCAUUCAUUAUUGACAAUUUAGCCAACACAACACAAGUAAGCAUACACGUGUGGUGGAGUUACUAGAAGUUCGAUUACAUUAAUCUUUUAAGACUUCUUAAUAUGAAUAUUUUCUUUUUAAAAUUUAAGAUGUUUUUGAAAUGAAGUUUAAUUCAUUAUUAAGAUUAAUUCUUUUUCUUUCUAAUUAUAUUUUUUUAUCCUCACUUCCAUUGUUACAUUAAUAUAAAAAAAAUUGUUCACUUAGCAUCUAACGCCUUAAAAGUUUAAGAUCCAUGCAUAGAUAAAAUGCCAAGUAUAUAAAAUUCAAUUGAUCAUAAGAUACUCUAGAUUCUGGGUUAGUAACAAGAGCUGAGUUUGAGGGAGCAUGAAUCUCUAUAGUAUUUGCAGCAUCUGCUGCCAUGGCCAAGUCAUUUGUGAAAGGAUGUAUACAUGUCCUAAUGUACGAUGCCAAUCAAAAAAUAGAAUUCAAACACAAGCGAACACAGAAUAAUCCACUGCCAACUUUUCUAUGAAGCCUUUUAUGAACCACUCAUGCUCUUUUCUAGUGGGAACAACAGACUGAUACAUAAUCCACUGCCAACUUUUCUAGUUUUAUUAUAAACAAUUGAUUGUUGGAUAAAAUUAAAACUCGUAAAGUAAUAUUUCCUAAACAAGAAGUAAUACAACCUGUGAGUCUAUUCUUAGCCAUCUUUAAGGUCUCCAUAUAUGAAAAGAUCGAACAAAUAUUUUGUGGGAUUGGACCGUGCAUGUUGUUCUUCGAUAUAUCUAUUAUGAUCAUGUUCAUAUCUGGGUGAUCUUGCAAUUGAAAAGCACCAACAAAAGAUUUCUCACUUGGAAAUAGUUGCUACAAUCUUGUAAUGUUCUCAAGCCACCAUGAUGGGAACAUUCCACUAAACUUGUUGUGGGAGAGAUCAAGGACUCUUAAGUCGUUUUGGCUAUUUGACAGUAAGAGUAAUUCAAGGGAUACGAGGUUGGUAAGAGGACCGGAGGCAAUGGUUCCGGUAAACUGGUUUCAAGAGACGUCUAGUAGUUGUGUUGGCGUGUAACCCCUAGUUAUCAAUCAACAAAUUUUCAGACUUUGUGAUUUUUUUAUGGUUUUACUGUAUUUGUUAUUUAAGUGUUUAUAGUUUAACAAAUUACAUUAUAUUUCAUGCUAUACAAUGCAUCAAUUGACUUGAUUGUGAAAGAUAUGAAAAUGAUUGUUUUUGUUCAAUUUAAGACUUUGCUAAACAAUUUGCACAGACCUUAUUGACUGGGAGUCAUUUUUUUAUUUUUUUUUAUAACUAGUGAAAUGUAUUAAAACGCCAAAAGAUGGCGGAAAGGAGGAGUUACAAAUCUGCAAAAACACACGGAUUUAGCAAAAGAAACAAAACGAAGAGAAAGAGGUCAAGAAAACCACAAGAACAGAGCAACAGCCUUAGAAUGCAGCUUUGCCUCCACACAAAACAGAGCUUCCAAGCUAAACAACCAGCCAUCACCGACUAUUCCAAAUCAAUAGAGGUCUUUAGACCAAGCAACAGCUAUUACCAGCCAUAACCAGCCACUGAGAAUCAAUAUUUAAGUUACUUGCAAUCCACUUUCUCAUCAGUUAUUGUUGUGGAGCUCUAUUUUGUCUUAAACGUAGGGUGUAUAAAAUAGUCAAAAGUAGGAUAUCCCACUUCCUCCAUUGUUGAUCUGUAACAAUCUAGUGGUAACCUUAUUUAGCUCAACUGGCCACACUGAGUUAAAGCAUAAAAUGUCGUGUAGGCACCUCUUGGUAGCCUUAUUUAGCACUCCUUGCCACUUUGAGUUAAAUAUAAAACGUCGUCUAUGCUUGACUUGUGGUUUGAUAUUUUGAUUUUUAAACACUAGCAAGUACUAGUUUCCUGGAAAGUACUGGUGGUCUCCUCACCAUCUGUUUCCUAACAACCCUCGUUAGAAAAUGAUUAAAGUUUUGACCAGACUGUUAAAGAGCAAUUCUAUGCCACAAAGCUAGUUUCCAGGUACCAAUUCAAAAAGCAAAACAACAAAACACAAAAAGUAUAUCAACACAAACUUAGAAGCCCACAAAUAAAUCCACUCAACCAAAAUUCAGAUCAACAGAAAGGCUGAGCUGAGAGACUAUACACUACAAAGCAUCCAAUAGCUAGACAUACAGGACCAACAAUUAUCACAAGCAGAUUAUCAAAUAAUUUUUGAGGGAAAAACUGACUCCCCAGCAGCAAUCAUUACAAAUUCACUAGGCAAAAUAGACCGAAUUACCUUCUGAACUUGGAGAACUUGCAAGAACUAGCCAGCAAAAAACAGAAGCAAGUAUCUAUGCAGUAGUCGAUGAAGUUAAACCACCCACGUCGCCAAUAUGGAUUGAUGUAGAGAAUUGCUGCAAUCCCCAUCACCACAACUAUGUAACCUACACCCAAACUGAUGUAGAAUAAAUUCAUGUCUAUGAAACCAUCAUCUUCUUGUUCAUCAUGAGGCAUUGGCAGCGAUGGUGAUUCUUCUUCACUACAAUUGUUUCGCAAUGGAGGUCCACACAAAAAAGGAUUUCCUUCAUAACUGCUUUCAUCGAAGGUCCCAAACUGAUAUUUUCUCUCUGGAGUAUUACCUGACAAGUUAUUGUGUGCCACACUAAAAACUUCUAGUGUGGUAAUUUCUAAAAGUUUCUGAGGGAUGACACCGUUCAAGUUAUUGUAAGAAAGAUCCAAACUCUCUAUCUGCUGUAAGUUUGAGAAUGUUGCAGGGAUAGAUCCAGUGAGAUUGUUGUGUGACAAGUUUAAUGCUAAUAGCUCCCUUAAGUUUCCCAAUUCUGGUGGGAUUGCUCCUGAGAAUUUGUUGCUGGAGAGAUCAAUACCAGACAUGAAGCUGAGAAUUUUUCCCUUGUAACCAUAAUACAUAUUUUUAGCUGUAAACUCUAUCACUUCUUCUGUAGUAAUGGGUGUAUAACUGCUUCCCAAGAGAGCUCCGAUUUGGCUGAAUUCAUAAUAAGCUUUUUCUAUGGGCGUUGAUCCAAAAUGAAAUCCGAAAUCCUCUGAUGCUUUGUCAUAACUUUCCUUGAAACUAAGAUUGCCUAAACAGGAUGGUAGUGGACCAGAGAGCUGAUUAUGUGAAACAUCCAAAAUGCUUAAUUGUUCCAACAAGCAUAGCUGAACAGGAAACUCACCUUCAAAAUCAUUAUCUCUCAAAAGAAGAACACUCAAUGAUGAAAGAUUGCCAAUCCAAUUUGAGAUGGAGCCGGUGAAGUUGUUAUCUCGGAGAUCCAAUGUAACAAGGGAAGAGCUGUUAUAAAAUCCAUAUGUUAAUGGACCACUCAAUCUAUUUUUUGAUAGAUGCACAUGGGUUAUAUGUGGUGGAUUGAAACAAGAUGGUAUAGAAUCAAACAAGUUGUUCUCAGAAAGAUCCAAGUAUGUAAGCUCAUCAAGCUUACAAAAUUCUUCUGGAAUGGGACCAUUAAAAUGGUUUUUGGACAAAUCAAUUGCGAAGAUUUGCGUCAAAUUGACAAACCACCACGGAAGCAUGCCUGAAAAUUGAUUGUUACUCAAAUCAAAUACAUGCCAGAUUGUUCUUAUGGGUGAUGGAAAAUCUGAUAUCUGACCCCAAAAAUUGUUAUCGCUUAGGUAGAGAUAAUUCAGUCUAGAAGAAUUGACCACUGAGGCAGGUAAUUGCCCACUCAAAUUGUUGUUUGAAAGCUUGAGAAACAUCAAUGUUAUAAACUGUUCUAGUUCUACCAUAGACAAUUGAUUGUUGGAUAAAUCUAAAACUCCCAGAGAGCUAAUAUUUCCUAAACAAGAAGGAAUACAACCUGUGAGUCCAUUCUUAGCCAUCCUUAAGGUCCACAAAUUUGAAAAGAUCAAACAAAUAUUUUUUGGAAUUUCACCAUGCAUGUUGUUGUUCGAUAUAUCUAUUGUGGUCAUAUUUGGAUUUGGAUGAUCUUGCAAUUGCAAGGCACCAGAAAAGGAGUUCUCAUUCAGAAAUAAUUGCUCCAAUCUUGUAUUGUUCUUAAGCAACCAUGAUGGGAACAUUCCAAUGAAGCUGUUUUGAGAGAGAUCAAGGACUCUUAAGUCAUGUUGGUUAUAGAGGAAGCUGGGAGUUUCUACAUUGAGUGCUUUCGAUGAACUUUUUGACAAGCUGAAAAAGACUAGUUGGAACUUUGGAAUCAAAUCAUGGAAGGACAUGGGUUCCGUUACUAGUCUGUUGUUGUCACUGGAGAAGAACUUGAGGCUUGAGUGGUUCAUAAAAGGCUUCAUUGAAAUUGGAACUUUGAAGUGGUUAUUUGAUAGUGAGAUGAAUUCAAGGGAUAUGAGGUUGGUAAGAGGACUAGAAGCAAUAUUUCCAGUAAAUUGAUUUCUCGAAACAUCUAAUAAUUGUAGAGAAGACAAGUUUCUGAAACAAUCUGGGAGUGAGCCCUCUAGAUUAUUUUCAGAGAAAAAUAACUGUUUUAGAUUCUUCAAUCCACACAGACCUGUACAAUUUAUUUCAAAAUAGUCAAAACAGUGUUGAAAACAUCUUUUAUUGAUCAUGUAAAAAUAAGAAGAUGAAGAGUUGCUAAUUUACCUUGAACGGGGAGGGUGCCAUUGAGGUCACAUUCACUGGCAGACAAAACUUUAAGAGCAGGCAAUACUCCAAUAUUAUGGAGAAAGUUUAAUGGGAGAGAACUACCAUCUAGAUACAAUUCUUCAAGGGUGGUCGAAUUGAAGAAAGUUCCUGUGAAGAAGAAACAACAAAAGAUAUGAUCAUGAAAAUGGUAGAGAUACAGAGUUGACUUUAAUCUCUUCAUGUCUUUAUUACCAUUCCACUUGUAAUUUUUCAUUUUCUUAAUUUAGUUCAGCUAACUUUAAAUGGAUUAUGAAAUGGAUAUAAAGUCAUUUUUCAUGAUAAAGAAACCCUAUAAAAGAAUGUCAUGUGAAGGGGUUAGGUAGAAAUUAUCUAAGAUUUACCGUUGACGCUCGUAGAUCCUGUCAACAUAUUGUAUGACAAAUCUAAAGACUUCAGAGAUGAAAAUCCUAUUAGAGAUGAAAAAAUGCUGUCACUGUAUUGAUUCCCUCUCAGGUGAAGGUUCUCCAGUUUCUUCAACCUUGAUGACAAGACGUUGAGACCUGCAAGAUGAUUUUGAAAGCCUGUUGGAAGGAAAUAAACGCACAGGAAAAAUAAUACGAGAUUAAAAAAGGAAAAUGUUCAAAGAUGAAUAGUUAAAGCUAUUACCAUAAAAGUUAGCCGAUCCUGUCAACGUAUUCCAUGACAAAUCUAAAGACUUGAGAGAUGAAAACCCAGUCAAACAUGAUAAAAUGCUGUCACUAUAAAAUUUAUUAUAACUGAGGUCAAGAACAUGCAGUUUCCUCAGUUUUGAUGAUAGGGUUCCGAAGCCUGCAAGAGAAAUCUCAAAGGAAAAUAAUUGACAUUAAAAACUUCAUUAAUAUACAUUUGUUUUAUGAUUAUAAGAAGAUAGACAUUGAACCAACCUUCAUUCUCAGAGCAACCAACUAAUCCAGUCUCUCCCAAAUCAAGACUCUGCAAUUCUUCCAAAGGCAGAAACAGAGAUGCGUUGAGAACCCAAUCGCCCAGGCGGAAAUCCCUUGCACGCCUAAGAGAGAGUUGGAUCACUCGCCUUGUAGUGUUAUCACACACGAUCCCAGACCACUCACAGCAAUUACCAAUAUCCUCUUUGUUGUCCAUCCAGUCGCUCAAUUCCCCUUGAACGCUGUUUGGAUCGAUCAAAGCUUUGAUCUCCAAGAGACCAAUCCUCUCUUCCUCCAAGCACCCACAACAACGACCACACCAUUCGCCAACCGAAGUCAAUAAUGCUAGCAACAGCCAAACCCACUGUUUUUUCAUCAUCAUCUUAGAUAAUUCUUUGAAUAUUGUUGCUUUUUAUGCGCACUUGGCCAAUAAAAGAGGUCCUAUUUAUAUUACACUUCGGCUCUCUCCAUGCAUUCAAUUGAAUUUUCUAUGCUAAACUGUGAAUGGAAGAAAGUUGGGUGUAUUAUCGGAGAAGACUUUGACUCAGAGUAAACUUGGACUCUUAAUGAUUUGGAUUUUUUUGGUAGUAAAUAUUUAAAACUCGUGUUCAUCUGUUAUUUUUUAUAGAAUAUUAUUUGCCGUGUUUAGAGGUGUAUGACAGAACAAUUUUCAUUAUUUAAAACAUUCGGAAGAGAAUAUGCGGAUUCAAACCGUAACAUAUAAGCUGAAAUUUAAUCAAGAAAUCCAAAAUAAACCGAGAUUUAGAGAGAGAUAAAAUUUAUUUCAGGUUUUUCUAUUUUUUUAAAUAGUACGAUAUAUACUAACCUCUGGAUGGAACUUAAGAAAAUUGGUAAGCUUGAAAAGGAAACUAAAUCUCAAUUGGCUUACAAAUUGGUUCGAGGAUACUGAGAAUACAGAUUUUUCUUUGCUGAAUUUUCAUUAUUCAAUUAAGUUGAAUAUUGACAACACAUGUUACAAUUUCUUGGCAGAAUUUUCUUCACGCACUGCAUUAAAAACCUGGAAUUGUUAGAUAAAAUUUAAACUCAGUGUCAGUACUUAGGUUAAUGAGCCUAGAGAAUGCUUGCCUAGUUAAUGUUAAUAGUUAAAGUUAGCGUGAGAAGCAGGGCGUUCAUCAAAUUGGCUGUUUGACUUGGAUACAUCUUGACAUUGGAGUCAAGUUAAUUGGUGCGACCGCACCUUCCUGGAAUUUCUUGCACAGAAGAAAUUUGUACAGGGCUGGUGAGGGCCUAGAAAAUGACUUCCUUCUGGCCUAGAAAAUGACUUCCACUUAAUAUUUCUUUGACAUUUAAGUCCCUUGUGAAAUGGGGGUGUUAUUUCGUCCUCUGCCUUUUCUUCCUGGACAUACGGAGCCAAGUUUCCAAGAUAAUCCAGAAAUGAUAGUCCAUUAUUCAACCUUUUGAAUAGUGAAGCUUUUCAAAAUAAUCCACAAAUGAAAGCUACAAAAGAAUAUCAUGGACCGUCUCACAUUGUUUACAUCACUCCAUUAAUUGCGCAAAUAUUAAAAAUAACAAGAACAACAAAAUUGCGGAAAGACUCAAGCACGAUAUUUUAUUCAAAGGUAAUAAUUGUCUCAAAAAUCCCACAAAAAAUAGUUUAAAUAGCAUGCCAUGGGCUAAGCAAACUAAAAUAAUAUAGAAUUCAAAAUUAAUACUGAAACAAAUAAGAAAGAAAAAUUUUCCAAACAAAAGCAAUCCGAGGCAAUCUUGAAGAUCAUGAUCACAAGAGAGCUCAAAAAGAGAUCUUCGUAGGGGAUUUUGAUACACUUUUCCCUCGUAGCUAUGUUGUGGGUCUCUAAAUCAUCUUUUUAUGUUGGUAUAAUUUGCGCGUCAAUUUAGCACCCUGCUCGUUAAAGAAAUACUGCAUAUUUGCCCUUAUAAACUAUCUUUUUAAACUUUAGUUUAUUAAUAAAGCCCAUAAACUCAUAGUCUAGACAUUCCACAUAAAACUUAAUAAGACACUGACAUUUAUUACUUUAAUUAUUUGUUUAUGGAUGGUAUUAGUAUUUCUAAUUCCUUGUCCAUAAGGAACACUUCACAGACAUGAAUGGGCUUUUUCACUGCCCUUCAUAAUGGGCUUGGCCACUUUCGGUAAUUAAGAAAAGCCUAUUGAAUAUUGUUGCUCGUUUUCAUUCUUUUGGCAUAUCUGUUUUAUCUUCUCGUUUGGUCCCUGCUAGACCUGUGUUUUAGCAGAAUGGAAAUGCCUUCUUGUUCGCAUAGCAUAACUCUCGAUGGGCUUAGAAGACAUAGGGGAAGAUAAAUUUGUUUUCGUUCCAGUUCUUAGGACGAGAUUGAUGAGAAAUUCAACUGGAUUUCAAGUAGUGAUUUGGUCUCAUCGGCUUCUCCUGGUCUUCUUGUUCUGAAUAUAAGGCUCGCCAUCUAAGCUUUUCAUUGGGUUUGAAUUUCCUGGCCUCCUGAGUUAAUUUUAUCUGGGCUGGACAUGAAUAUUUUUAUAUACACUACUUAAGGCUGGAUGAGCUUAUCUCUUUAGCAUGUCUUCUUAGACUCUUGUGCUUUCAAACUAUAUUAGCUCUAAGUAAAUUAUUAUCUGAGUAAAAUCAUUGCGUAUCUGUGCUAUUUAGGGGGAUUUAUACUCUCAAUUUGCACCUUUCAGUAAUUAUUUUAUAUUGGGUAUCUCUUUUUUUUUUGUUAUAAAAAAAUAUACAAGAUGUAUAUCUAUGUAAUUAAGUUACAGAAAAUGUAAUAUACACUUGUCAUGGCUACAAGAAAUAGCGAAAGAAGGAAACGGAGGAAAGAUAACCGAUUGACCCCUAACGAAGACCAAUGCAUAAGAAUUUCAAAGUGGUAAAAAGGAGGUGGCUAAAAAAGAACAUCAUGUUCAAACCAUUGCACCUAAAAUAAUUCAACACCAAAGGUUCUAAAAUAAACCAAUUCAUCUCGAUCCUCUCAAUCCCAUCAUGGGAUAUUAAUUUUCAUAUUUAAUCAAAUGAAUCAUGAAAAAUAUAUUUAAAUGAAAACGAUAAGAGGAAAGACAUUUUUAGCCACAAAACGUCACUGGAAUUUGGCUAGCAUAGCGAAGGCAAGUGAGCUGCACCGGGUCAAUAAGCAAUUGUCUACUAUUCACUGUUUUUGUUGAUUGGAGUUAAUGAUGUGUAGUAUUUUGAAGUUGAUCAAUUGUCUACUAUUCCUUGUUUUUGUCUUUGAUUUUUAUGCAUACAUUGUAGAUUAAUAUUAAGCAAUUCAUCUAACAAAUAUGAUUUCAACAAUUUAGUUUUUGUUAAUGAGCUGACAAAAUCUUGUAACGUAUAACUUUUUUAUAUUAAAUUCAGCCAUCAAAUUAAAAUCUUGUAAAAGGCUGAAGUUCUUAUUCUCAAUAUAAAUAAUCCAAAUGGCCCGAUGGUAGAGCACACAACAGUUUACUAUUUUAUUCGUAACACAACACAACAGUUCAUCAUUACAGAAUAACUUAUUAAGUUUUAUUUUACUUGCCAACGCAACAAAGACAUAACAUAAAGAAGAAGUCCCGAAAGCAUGAUACAGUAUAGGGCAAGAGGCCGGUAAUCUUCGGGUAUUUGACCGUCAUUGAAACAAUAGCCGGCUAAUUAGCCUACAGCUUAAAAGGCUCCAAGGCGACAUCAAUGCCACCAGUCUUGUUCAUGAAAUGGGAAAUGAACUCUUUAUACUGAAAGGAUUUAUAGAUUGCAGGAUUGCGUGGAUCAACAAGAGCUUUGGCAGGCUCUACAAUGCUGUCACCAUUAGGAAUGAAAAACAUGGCAACACUUGUCCGAGCUUUCUCUGAAUUUGUCACUGCUCGAUGUUCGACGCUUCUCAGCUUGCUGUUACUGAUAAUCUAAACAUAGACCAGCCAUUUUGUGAGAUUAAAGCUCAAUAUAUAUAAUCUCAUCAAGGAUAUAUUAGUGACAUUAAAUAUAAUGAAAUAUAAACGGAACCUAAGAGUUUGUCUAAUGGUUGAUUAAGGGCGCCGGUGUGUGCUCCGUUCUUGCCCUUUUGAGGAUUUAAACUCUAUAUUAUCGGUAAAACUCUCACGAUUUUUCUAAUUUUGUACAAAUAAUAUGUCUCUUUACCGAUUCAGAUCCGUGAACAAAAAAUAAAAAAGAUAAGCGGGAGUUUACCUGCAUUUGGUAUCCCAUGUUAACCACAAAUGCAUUAGAAAUUGGCUCAACACCAAUCCAUUCACCAUUCUUUAAGACUUGAAGCCCAAACACAUCACUAUCUUGUUGUAAAAUGGUUAUGAGAUUAGGAUCACAGUGUUCGGAGACUCCGAGGGUCAAACUUGGAACAUAACAGGCGGAAUAAAACUGGAACAAAUCUAUUGAAAUUUGGCUGAGAAAUCCAUAAUGAAUCAAGAUUUAUUGAGAAAAAUGAUAUGAUGUAUGCCCAUGGACGGUAAUGGAACAUAAUUGAGUAACGAAACAUAAUUGAUAAGCUUGAAAAGGACACUAAAUCUCAAUUGGCUUACAAAUUGGUUCGAGGAUACUGAGAAUACAGAUUUUUCUUCGCUGAAUUUUCAUUAUUCAAUUAAGUUGAAUAUUGACAACACAUAUUUUAAUUUCUUGGCAUAAUUUUCUUCACGCACUGCAUUAAAAACCUGGAAUUGUUAGAUAAAAUUUGAACUAAGUGUCAGUUUUUUUAGAAUAAGUCGAUAUAUUGAAAGGGCUAUUGAACUAAGUGUCAGUACUUAGGUUAAUGGGCCUAGAGAAUGCUUGCCUAGUUGAUGUUAGUAGUUAAAGUUAGCGUGAGAAGCAGGGCGUUCCUCUAAUUGGCUGUUUGCUACUCUGCUUUCUCAUUCUAGACUUGGAUACAUCUUGACAUUGGAAUCAAGUUAAUAGGUGCGACGGCACCUUCCUGGAAUUUCUUGCACAGAAGAGAUUUGUGUUGAGGACAAUUUGUUUAAAUAGGCUGGUGAGGGCCUAGAAAAUGACUUCCUUCUGGCCUAGAAAAUGACUUCCACUUAAUAUUUCUUUUACAUUUAAGUCGCUUGUGAAAUGGGGGUGUUAUUUCGUCCUCUGCCUUUUCUUCCUGGACAUACGAAGCCAAGUUUCCAAGAUAAUCCACAAAUGAUAGUCCAUUAUUCAACCUUUUGAAUAGUGAAGCUUUUCAAAAUAAUCCACAACUGAAAGCUACAAAAGAAUAUCAUGGACCAUCUCACAUUGUUUACAUCACUCCAUUAAUUGCGCAAAUAUUAAAAAUAACAAGACCAACAAAAUUGCGGAAAGACUCGAGCACGAUAUUUAUUCAAAGGUAAUAAUUGUCUCAAAAAUAGUUUAAAUAGCAUGCCGUGGGCUAAACAAACUAAAAUAAUAUAGAAUUCAAAAUUAAUACUGAAACAAAUAAGAAAGACAAAUUUUCCAAACAAAAGCAAUCCGAGGCAAUCUUGAAGAUCAUGAUCACAAGAGAGCUCAAAAAGAGAUCUUCGUAGGGGAUUUUGAUACACUUUUCCCUCGUAGCUAUGUUGCGGGUCUCUAAAUCAUCUUUUUAUGUUGGUAUAAUUUGCGCGUUAAUUUAGCACCCUGCUCGUUAAAGAAAUACUGCAUAUUUGCCCUUAUAAACUAUCUUUUUAAACUUUAGUUUAUUAAUAAAGCCCAUAAUCUCAUAGUGUAGACAUUCCACAUAAAACUUAAUUAGACACUGACAUUUAUUACUUUAAUUAUUUGUUUAUGGAUGGUAUUAGUAUUUCUAAUUCCUUGUCCAUAAGGAACACUUCACAUACAUGAAUGGGCUAUUUCACUGCCCUUCAUAAUGGGCUUGGCCACUUUCGGUAAUUAAGAAAAACCUAUUAAAUAUUGUUGCUCGUUUUCAUUCCUUUGGCAUAUCUGUUUUAUCUUCUCGUUUGGUCCCUGCUAGACCUGUGUUCUAGCAGAAUGGAAAUGCCUACUUGUUCGCAUAGCAUAACUCGACGGGCUUAGAAGACAUAGGGGAAGAUAAAUUUGUUUUCGUUCCAGUUCUUAGGACGAGAUUGAUGAGAAAUUGAACUGGAUUUCAAGUAGUGAUUUGGUCUCAUCGGCUUCUCCUGGCCUACUUGUUUUGAAUAUAAGGUUCGGCCAUCUAAGCUUUUAAUUGGGUUUGAAUUUCCUGGCCUCCUGAUUUAAUUUAAUCUCGACCGGACAUGGACAUGAAUAUUUCUAUAUACACUCAAGGCUGGAUGAGCUUGUCUCUUUAGCAGGUGUUCUGAGGCUCUUGUGCUUUUAAAUCAUGCCAGCUCUAAGCCUCUUAUUAUCUGAAUGAAAUUAAUGUGUUCUUGUGCUGUUUAGGAGGGGUUUUCUACUCUCAAUUUGCACCUUUCAUUAAUCAUUUCAUACUGGGUACCUUGUUUUUUUUUUUUACUAUGAAAAAAUAUGCAAAGUGUAUAUCUAUGUAAUUAAGUUACAGAAAAUGUAAUAUACACUUGUCAUGGCUACAAGAAAUAGCGAAAGAAAGAACCGGAGGAAAGAUAACCGAUUGACCCCUAACGAAGACCAAUGCAGAAGAAUUUCAAAGUGGUAAAAAGGAGGUGGCUAAAAAAGAACAUCAUGUUCAAACCAUUGCACCUAAAAUAAUUCAACACCAAAGGUUCUAAAAUAAACCAAUUCAUCUCGAUCCUCUCAAUCCCAUCAUGGGAUAUUAAUUUUCAUAUUUAAUCAAAUGAAUCAUGAAAAAUAUAUUUAAAUGAAAACGAUAAGAGGAAAGACAUUUUUAGCCACAAAACGUCACUGGAAUUUGGCUAGCAUAGCGAAGGCAAGUGAGCUGCACCGGGUCAAUAAGCAAUUGUCUACUAUUCACUGUUUUUGUUGAUUGGAGUUAAUGAUGUGUAGUAUUUUGAAGUUGAUCAAUUGUCUACUAUUCCUUGUUUUUGUCUUUGAUUUUUAUGCAUACAUUGUAGAUUAAUAUUAAGCAAUUCAUCUAACAAAUAUGAUUUCAACAAUUUAGUUUUUGUUAAUGAGCUGACAAAAUCUUGUAACGUAUAACUUUUUUAUAUUAAAUUCAGCCAUCAAAUUAAAAUCUUGUAAAAGGCUGAAGUUCUUAUUCUCAAUAUAAAUAAUCCAAAUGGCCCGAUGGUAGAGCCCACAAUAGUUUACUAUUUUAUUCGUAACACAACCCAAUAGUUCAUCAUUACAGAAUAACUUAUUAAGUUUUAUUUUACGUGCCAACGCAAUAAAGACAUAACAUAAAGAAGUAGUCCCGAAAGCAUGACACGGUAUAGGGCAAGAAGCCGGUAAUCUUCGGGUAUUUGACCGUCAUUGAAACAAUAGCCGGCUAAUUAGCCUACAGCUUAAAAGGCUCCAAGGCGACAUCAAUGCCACCAGUCUUGUUCAUGAAAUGGGAAAUGAACUCUUUAUACUGAAAGGAUUUAUAGAUUGCAGGAUUGCGUGGAUCAACAAGAGCUUUGGCAGGCUCUACAAUGCUGUCACCAUUAGGAAUGAAAAACAUGGCAACACUUGUCCGAGCUUUCUCUGAAUUUGUCACUGCUCGAUGUUCGACGCUUCUCAGCUUGCUGUUACUGAUAAUCUAAACAUAGACCAGCCAUUUUGUGAGAUUAAAGCUCAAUAUAUAUAAUCUCAUCAAGGAUAUAUUAGUGACAUUAAAUAUAAUGAAAUAUAAACGGAACCUAAGAGUUUGUCCAAUGGUUGAUUAAGGCCGGUGUGUGCUCCGUUCUUGCCCUUUUAGGAUUUAAACUCUAUAUUAUCGGUAAAACACUCACGAUUUUUCUAGUUGUGUACAAAUAAUAUGUCUCUUUACCGAUUUAGAUCCGUGAACAAAAAAUAAAAAAGAUAAGCGGGAGUUUACCUGCAUUUGGUAUCCCAUGUUAACCACAAAUGCAUUAGAAAUUGGCUCAACACCAAUCCAUUCACCAUUCUUUAAGACUUGAAGCCCAAACACAUCACUAUCUUGUUGUAAAAUGGUUAUGAGAUUAGGAUCACAGUGUUCGGAGACUCCGAGGGAUGACAACAAUUUGAAGAUCGUUAGUUGUUUUGGAAGGUUCUAAUAGUAGAAGAAAAAACAGAGUGUUUGUGUCUUGACAUGUAAGGUAGUAUAGAUACAAAUGAUUUAUAGUAAAAAAAAAUACUUCUCUUGUAAUCUUCUAAACUAGUAAAAGUUAUAUAUCUUGGAUUUGGCUGCUCUAGAUGGUUUUUUUAUCUUUGAAAAGAUCAAAAUAUUUUCUCUUGACCAAAUAAUUUGUUCAUUUAAGUUUCUUGCACUUAUAUUUAUUUAAUUACUAAUCAAUGUUUGUAAAAUGUUAGUAAAUUGCUUCUUAAUAUACAUAGAACAAAAACAAGACUAUUAACUAUAAAGAUAUCAAAGGACAUAGUCUUGCCAUAUGUCGAGAGAUUAGAGAAUCUAGUGGUUAAAAUGUUAUUAAUCUUAUUAGACCGUUAAGAAAGUCUGUUAGCAUUCAUCAAUGAAAAGAAAAAAGAGGUUAUAGAACGUGAACAAGCUUCUAACUAUAGCUUGAUAUAAAGGUCUGUAAAGGUCUGUAAUAGUGUGAGAAAAGGAAUUAAUAAGAAUAUAAUAGUUUCUUCUUUCUCUCUAUUCAUCAGAAAAUUCUCUCUACUUCUCUCCACUUCUUUAUUUGCUUAUGUGUAAUUCUACUAUCUUAUUAUCAGUUAUUAAAAAUGAUAAAUUUAGAAUCUUGUGUUUUCACAUUUUCCAUAUUAUAUAAUAUUUAUUAUCCAAAGUUUCCAAGCAGGUCAUCAAUGUUGAAUAUUUUCAUCGGUUAAGAAGGUUAUGAUUAAAUUAUUAGCAUAUAUUAUUAAUAUUAAUAUCCACGUUUAUCAGAUAGAUACCUUUAUUAAUUGAUUUGCUGUUCCCUUUUCCCUUUGUGUAGCUAGUUGGUUUGUGCAUCCGCGCCAAUACUAUUUAGUUGCAAUUCUCUUCAUCAUGUGAUAUAAUUAAAUGAUUAAAGUCAAGCCCAUACGUCCGCAACACUUACCUGCCAAUAUGAAUCACGAAUAAGAAUUUUUUUUUUUUUUUUGAUAAAAUCCACAUUUUGUGUAAUAGAGUUUUACCAAAAAAGUAAUAAAAGUAGGAAAUUUUUACUAUUUGCCACCAACUCAAGAUUAUUACUUGCAAAAAGAAAACUCUUGUGUGUGUGUGUGUGUGAAAUUUCAAACUUAAUUAGGCAGUGAAAUUUAUUUGUGUCAAUGAGUUUUCUUUGCUCAAUUAUAUCUAAAAUAAGAACUGGAUACAUUAUAUAUAAAAAUUAAAUUAAUUAAUGAGACCUUGAAGUAAUAAAAGUAGGAAAUGUUUUUGAUAAAGUCUUGUUACACACCAAGGUAAUUAGGGGACUGUGUUCUUAAACAAAAAGUUUUUAACUCCAGGUCAAUUUGAGUAGGCCUUAUUGAUUGGGAGUUAAAGAGAUUAGCUGCCACUUCAUCAUCAAAUCAAAAGUAAAAUGUUAAUGAACUCACCAUUAAUUGCCAUUAAGCUCCAUUGAGUGUGAACAAUGAAUUUAUAAAAUAGUCAAAAGUGGGAUGUCGUGAUUUCAACAAUGCCGUUUCAUAAAAUUGAUAGUCAUGAUGAAAAGAAGAAUACAGUCCCCAAGGGGUGUAGCGUGGUGGCAAAGGGCUUGAGAUCUGCAUGGCAGGUCUUGAGUUCGAGUCAAGGCGUGCACUUCUUGUAAGAGCCUGGGACAGCCGGGGUUUUACUCACUUAUCUGGGCCCAUAAAGUGCGCUUUCCGGAAGGUGGGGUUUCCUCGAAUCCAAAAAAAAAAAAAAAAAAAAGAAGAAUACAGAAUUGUUGGUUGAAACGUGAACGUCGUGUUCUCCUGAAUUGUAUAGUGACGAUGGUGGAACCGAUGCGGUUGCAUAGCAGCACCAACCAGUACUUUCCUAAUGAUUUCCUUGCGGAAGAAAUUAUGGCAUGGUGGAAAACGAUGCCACCCUAACAAUCCAAGAGUUCAAAUUCAACUUGAAUAAAAGCAUGAUAAUUUAGAAGAGAAAGGAUCCAAGAACAUCACGAAACAGGGGAUUGUUCUAUUUUGUUAUGUAACAAUCUCAACAGCUAAGAGGUUAGAUUGUAGGGUCUAAUUUCAAAUGCAAGACUCUAUUGAUUCUCAUCAUUGUAGUAAUAAAACCAUGUACAUUUUUAUUAAAUUAAGAGGAAACACAAAAUUAAACAAGAAAAUCUUUAGAGGUCAGAAAUAAAUCUAACAUUGUCGAACAGACUGUGAGCAAACCCAGAUUUGGUGGAAGAUAGAGAUAUGAAGAGAGAGCAGAAAUUGAUGGUCUACUUGUUUUGCAUAUAAGGUUCGGCCAUCUAAGCUUCUCAUUGGGUUUUAAUUUCCUGAGUUAAUUUCAUCCUGGCUGGACUUGAAUAUCUCUAUAUAUACACUUAAGGCUGGAUGAGCUUGUCUCUUUAGCAGGCCUUCUUAGGCUUAUGUUCUUUCAAACAAUGUCAGCUCUAAGCCCAUUAUUUUACAGAAAAUGUAAAAUACACUUGUCAUGGCUGAUUGAAAUCGUGGAAGAAAAAACUAGAGGAAAGAUAACCGAUCGAUCCCCAUCGAAGACCAAUGCAGAGGAAUUUCAAAGGGGAAAAACGGUGGCGCCUUUAUGAUGCAGUUCAUCUAAAGAUAAAACCUAACCUGAAUUAAUUGUUCGGUCUCCUUCAAAGCGAAAUAACUUUGCCAGGUUUCCUCCCAGUGACAUUACAUUUUUAAAGUUAAAAGUGCUGAAGCACAAUUCAAAGACAAUAAGUAGUAUUAAACUUAACAAGCUAGUUCAAUGGAGGAGAAUGGUGUGCUGAAACUCUAUGAUUUUCAAAAAAAUUGAAACAUAUCAGAUACAUGCUGCUGCAUUCGCAAGAAAGGAGCACCCAUCAACCACUGUCCUAUUGAAUGUGCUAAAUGUCAAUACAGAGCCUUAAAGCAUCAAGACAGGCAGCAAUUAAACAUAAAUGAUAAUAGAAGACACACCAGAGCACUCUAUGUAAACUGAUAUCUUUAGAAAAUUCAAAUCAACUCAUAAAGUUUAUGAGUUAUUAGGUCAAAUCAACGAUACCCUAUUUUACCUUCAUCGUAACCUAGAAAGACACAAAUAGCAAAACAGGAGGACAACUUAAUGUGUUUUGCAUGAGGACAAAGAAUAAAACAAAUACAACCAAAAACUCUAAAGGAGGAAUAAUCAGGGACAUGCCUAUAUAACUUUUCAAAAAGAGACAAACCUGAACUAUGAGAAGAUAUGAUUGUAUUAAUCAAACUUACAAAGUAAUGACAACUUUUUCCCAAAACUCACUAGGAACAAAAGCAGACAACAAGAGAGAACGAGCAGUUUCAACAAUGUGCCUAUGUUUUCUUUCAACAACACUUUUUUGCUUAGGAGUAUCUGUACAUGAAGUUUGGUGAAUGAUUUCAUCUAAGGCAAGCAAUUGAGAGAAUUUUUAGAAGUGUAUUCCGCACCCAAAUCACACUUAAAGUAUUUGAUUACAACAAAAUGUUGAGUUUUCACAAGAGCUUGAAAGAGUGUAUAUAUCUCAUAGAAUUUAAGAUAUAUAAUAUCGAGACCCUUCUUUUGUGGUAAUAUGAGAAGGUCCCCAUACAUCAAAAUGAAUCAAAUCAAAAGGUGAAGAAGAAACAUAAAUACUUUGAUUAAAAGAUAAAGCGAAAAUUUUUGCCAGUUUACAUCCACUACAAUCAGAAAUAUCACAAGUUUUUAAAUUUUCUAAAGCUCUUAUGGAUGCUAAAAAUCUUAAACAAGAAGACGAAUUAUGACCUAGACGAGAAUGUCAUAAAUAAAAACUAGAAGAUGAAGGACUCAAAUGAAAGGAAGACAAAUCAAUAGUAGUAGUAGCGGCGGCGGUGGCAACUGGCACUUUUAACUCAUCUAAACUAUAUCGUCCAUUCUCCCUACGGCCUGUCCCAAACAACUUCUGAGACUGCAAAUCCUGUACACAACAAAAUGAACCAGAAAACAUGACUAAAUAAUCACCAGAAUCACAUAUUUGACCAACAGAAACAAGAUUCAAUUCAAGGUUCAGAAUAAGAUAAACAUUAGAGAGAUAUAAGUGAGGUGUGACAACAGAACCAACACCUGCUAAAGGCAUGAGAGUGCCAUCAACAGUCAUAACAGGAAUGGAGAACGAAAGGGAAACAGAGGUAAAAGAUGAAAAAUAUGGAGAUAUAUGAUGUGACAUACUUGAGGAGCCAAAAGGCAACUAACCUAUGGAAGAAGAAGUAGACAUUGCUUGUGGCUAUACGGAGAGAAACUUCUUAAAUUGCUCAACAAGAUGCUCGCCAUCUAUAAGACUUUAAUAAAAGUAGUAAAGUUCUCGAUUUUGUUUUGGUUGAUAUUUUUUUUUAAUUGAAACAAUACAUUUUGGUUCUAGAGCAUUUUAGCGAGUCGUUUUAAAAUUAUACUAUUUCAGGGUUUUAUUAAUUGGAACAUAACAGGCGGAAUAAAACUAGAACAAAGUAAUUGGAAUGUGGCUGAGAAAUCCAGAAUGAAUCGAGAUUUAUUGAGAAAAAUGAUACGAUGUAUGCCCAUGGACGGUAAUGGAACAUAAUUGAGUAACGAAACAUAAUUGAUAAGCUUGAACAGGACACUAAAUCUCAAUUGGCUUACAAAUUGGUUUGAGGAUAGUGAGAAUAUAGAUUUUUCUUUGCUGAGUUUUCAUUAUUCAAUUAAGUUGAAUAUUGACAACACAUGUUUUAAUUUCUUGGCAGAAUUUUCUUCACGCACUGCACACAGCCCUGUGUGAGGGGUAAAGUCACGGGAUUAUUAUUGAAAAAAUAUGCUCCAUCAACCAAAUAAACUAAGUGCUCCUGUCAAGUGGAGCACUAAAGACAUAUCUUAUUAUUAUUAUUAUUAUUAUUAUUUUUGGUAUGAUAUUUUAUGUAUUAUCAGCAAGUGAGCUGCACCAAGGCAAUAAGCAAUUGUCUACUAUUCGCUGUUUUUAUCUUUGAUUUUUAUAUAUACAUUGAAGAUUAAUAAGCAAUUCAUCUAAAAAAUAUGAUUUCAAUAAUUUAGUUUUUGUUCAUUAGCUGACAAAAUCUUGUAACGUAUAGCUUUAUUAUAUUAAAUUUAACCAUCAAAAUCUUGUAAAAGGCUGAAGUUCAUAUUAAUUCCCAAUAUAAAUAAUCCAGUAGUCCGAUGGUAGAGCACACAAUAGUUUACUAUUUUAUUCGUAACACAACACAACAGUUCAUCAUUACAGAAUAACUUAUUAAGUUUUAUUUUACAUGCCAACGCAACAAAGACAUAACAUAAAGAAGUAGUCCCGAGAGCAUGAUACAGUAUAGGGCAAGAGGCCAGUAAUCUUCGGGUAUUUGACCGUCAUUGAAACAAUAGCCGGCUAAUUAGCCUGCAGCUUAAAAGCCUCCAAGGCGACAUCAGUGCCACCAGUCUUUUUCAAGAAAUGGGACAUGAACUCUUUAUACUGAAAGGAUUUAUAGAUUGCAGGAUUGCGUGGAUCAACAAGAGCUUUGGCAGGCUCUACAGUGCUGUCACCAUUAGGAAUGAAAAACAUGGCAACACUUGUCCGCGCUUUCUCUGAAUUUGUCACUGCUCGAUGCUCGACGCUUCUCAGCUUGUUGUUACUGAUAAUCUAAACAUAGACCAGCCAUUUUGUGAGAUUAAAGCUCAAUAUAUAUAAUCUCAUCAAGGAUAUAUUAGUGACAUUAAAUAUAAUGAAAUAUAAACGGAACCUAAGAGUUUGUCUAAUGGUUGAUUAAGGCCGGUGUGUGCUCCGUUCUUGCCCUUUUAGGAUUUAAACUCUAUAUUAUCGGUAAAACUCUCACGAUUUUUCUAGUUGUGUACAAAUAAUAUGUCUCUUUACUGAUUCAGAGCUGUGAACAAAAAAUAAAAAAAGUUAAGCGGGAGUUUACCUGCAUUUGGUAUCCCAUGUUAACCACAAAUGCAUUAGAAAUUGGCUCAACACCAAUCCAUUCACCAUUCUUUAAGACUUGAAGCCCAAACACAUCACUAUCUUGUUGUAAAAUGGUUAUGAGAUUAGGAUCACAGUGUUCGGAGACUCCGAGGGUCAAACUUGGAUCUGGGCAUGGCGGAUAAUGAUUGACUAACAAACUUGGGAUUUCACUGAGCUUACCCCCAAAAUGCCCAGACUCCAGCCCCAGUCCUUCACAAAGUAACUCCAAGAUUGUUGCGGACAACUUUUUUACUUCAGUAGCAUAAGCCCCGACAACGUGUCUGUAAAAAAUAACGGAAAUAUAUAUAAAGUCUGGAAAAACUACAAUUUUUAGAGAAAUUAAGGUAUCGAGAAUGAUUGUCAGUCCAUAUAUACAAAUUUGCAAGCUCAAUUUACCGGUAUCUUGUUGGUUUUUCAGGCCAGUGUUGAAUGCAUUCCUCUAGAGGAUGACAAGAGUUCCUUAAAUUAUCUCGCCAUAAGUGAACAUCUUCAGUAGCAUAAAGUAAACUACUUGUAUACAAAAUGCAAUGAUUGUUUCUCAUUGCAUCCUCGCAGUAGAAGCUUGUCUUGUCCUCUUCAGGCAACUCAAAGAAUUCCUUGAAGACACUCAUUGUGUCAUUCAUCAAAUCUUCAGCGACGCCAUGAUUGAUCACCUGCACUUAAUUUGUGAAUUUAUCAUAACUUAUAUAAUUCUCUACUUUGAUCAUCUAUUAGGCCUAUGAUGACCAUUAAUUUUAAAUCAAAGUGGUAAAUGAUUGCACAUACUAAAGCUAAAUCACAUUCGAGCAUGUUACUGUUAAAAGAGGAAUACAAUAAAACGAUAUCAUGCGAUUUUAUCAUACAGUUCUAGCUCAUAUAGUCAUGGACCGUGUAAAUAUCAAAGCUCAUAAUAUUUGAAGUUGUGAACCUGAAAAAAUCCAUAAUCUUGACCAGCUUUCAGAAUUUUUUGUAUAGUAGCAUCUCUAUCUUGACUAAUGGCUAUUGCUUCAAGAUCUAUAACUGGUAUGGACUUGCUUGCAUUGAAAGUGACAUUCCCUGGUCGCUUUUCCGGUGGAAAAAUGUACUUCUCAGGCACGGUUUGGACAUUAUUCCAGCUUGAAACGAGCUUCUCCAUUACCUAGCUAUGAUGCCAAAUUUCUAUUUAGCUACAAUAAGCUUGUGGACAAUUAUUGCUGUCUGAAUUCCAAACCAAUGUGUCUUAUAUAUAUACUUGUGCAUGUGUGGACUCAAUUGGAUUGCUAAGUUAUUGGAUGCUGUUAAGCUUGACGGACAAUUUGAACCAUAACAAUAGAAAAACAAAUUAACGUGGGGGGAAAAAAGAAUCAUAUAUUUAGACACGCAACACCAGAAAAUUAAUUGUAUUUUUUUUUAUGUUAGAUAUAAUCCCUAGCAAGUCUAAUUAAGUAGUAGCAAUGGGUGCAUUCAUAUCUUAUCUAACAAUAAUUAACGAUUGAUAAAUGUACAAACUACAAUGCAUUAUACAAUGACAAUAAAUAUGUUAGUUGCAUAAUGAUAUUUUACAUCUAAAAUUAGUUUAGACCCACUAUUAAAUAUAAAUCCUCAUCAUCUUCUUGUUCAUCAUCUUUUUUAUUGAAUUGAAGUUAUUCGAUCCUUUCAUCCUCAUCUUCAUCAACUGAUGUAUUUUUAUUGAUACUCAAUAUAUCAUUUAACUUGUCAAUAUCAACAUAAACAUAAGUAUUCUUUGCGACAUGAAAAUUUAAAUCUUCUUCUAACUCAACAAAUCAAGCAAUUCAAUAUAGAUCAACUAACUCACUUAGUUGAAAUACAUGUUCUCCCCAAUUACUUUAUCAUUACUAUAUUUAACAACUUGGACAUGACUUUUAAGUCUGAUUUUCACAAUAAAUAACCAAUCAACUCUAUUAUGAUCAUUUUUAAAGGAAUGAGUGUAUGAGUAAUAUACUUGCUGGCAUUGUUUGGCAAAUAUAAAAACAUCAUUGAUGUUGCUAAGUUUAUCUCUUUUACUGAUUUCGACCAAACCAUAAUGAUGAUCUACCCUAAUUCCUCUAUCGGCAUAAUGUUAAUAGCAUUCGAAUGAAAAAAAAAAACUAUAUUCAUUUCAUUGAUAAUGCAAUCUUUCACCAUUGUAGGUUAGUAUUAUCCCAUUCUUUUGAUUUGAAAGUGAAGUUUAGGACCCGGUUGAUGUGCUUCAUAGAUCCUUGAGUGUGUUUCUUCUAGAACGGUUACAUUUAAUAAAUCAUUAUGAAAUUAGUUGAAUAUUCUUCCUUAGAUUUAUUAAUUUUUGACGCAACAAAUCAUUAAACCUUACUUACUUCACAAAUUAGAGAUUAAACAAUUAUGAAUUUGAUAUCUAACCCAAUAGUAGAUUGCAAUGGAUAAUAAACUAGUAGGCCUUUUAGUAAUUAAACAGGACAAUCAUGAAAAUAGGCACCGAAGAACAUUUAACACUUAAGGCAUAAAUUGAACAAUAAAAACAAAUUAGAUCUUAUAGUCUUAUUGAUUUUGAGUUUUCCAUUUUCUUUUACCAAAUAAAAAAGUUAGCUACAUGGGACCAUUAUCGUUACCUAUUUUUGGGUCCCGACACAAAAAAAAAAAAAAAAAAAAUUCAGAAAAAAACCAAAAAAUAAUAGUAGUGGGAAAAGGAUGUCUGAGCGCCCAGAAAAUGGCCAAAAAUUGGUUGCAGAGGUUUAAAAAUACAAAGAUUAAAAUUUAACAGUAUAUUUACUCAUGAGAGCCUUAUUGACAAAGAAAAUUCAAUUUGAGGAAGAAAAGUUCAAAAUCAGAUGUUUAUGGACUCCAUUAAAUUUUAUUAAAGGUUUAAUUGAAUUUAUGGAGAGUUUGAUUGCAACAAAAAAAUAAUUUUUAAGUCAAUUUAGGCUUUAAUUGGAAGAAACUAAAGUUUAGGGAUCAAAUUAUCAUUUUUAAGAGUUGAUUUGGUCAAAUCAGGGGCUUAAUUGCAUAAAUAUUGAAGUUUGAUGGCUAAUUAGGGACUUGAUUAAAUAAAUCUGAAACCAAAGACCAAACAAGAAAAGACGUGUAAAUAGAAGGGCUAGAAUUGAUUGAAUCAGAGGCUAAAUUGAAGAAAUUGAAAGUUUGUUGAUCAAUUGUGUGUCAAAAUGCACAAAUUCAAAACCAAGGAUUAAAGUGAAAAAGACGGCCAACAUUAGGGUCAACAUUGGAAUUUGACAAGGAUGCAAUUGAACUGAUUUUUAAAAUCAAAAUUACAAUUGAGGACUUGAUUGGAGAAAUCACAAAUUGAGAACUGAUUUGGAAGUUUAAACAUUUUGGCACAAUUUUCUUUUAAAUGAAAUGAUUCAUUUUGGUCAAAGCGACACUAUUUCAUUCACUCUUUUUAUUUUUUUUUAAAAGAAGACAGAAGCACAAAACGAUGUCGUUUUGAAUGACACUACGCUUCUUCUUCCCUGGACGCAUAACAAGGGAAGAAGAAGUUUCCCCCCCUCUCCCUCCCCACUUGCCCAAACCCUAGCAUAACCCAUACCCGCAUAUGUCAUGCCACUAUGAUGAAGAAAAGAGAGGGUAGCCAUGCCCUGCAAGCAGCUCUUGGGCAGCUGCAUAGAGGCCGUCCCAUGCCACACCUUGAGCCAUGACUGGACAGGGCAAGGUGGCUCCCUCUCCUCCUGCUUAUAAAUACCAGAUGAAAAGAGAGAAACAAUAGGGGGGGUUUGGGAGAGAAAGAUUUUAGAGAGGUGUUGAGAGAGAGAAAGAUUUUGAAAAAAAAAACUGAGAAAGGGCGGAAUGAAAAACAGAGGGACAUUGUUUGAGAACCAGGGGAGUUGAAAAAAAAACGAGAGAACAAAAAGACAGAGAGGAAAGAAUAGAAAAAAGAAAGAAGAGAAGAACAAGGGAGAGAGAAAAAAAAAUAGAAAGAAAACAAAACGAAAAGAAAAGGAAAAGCAAAGGGAUUUGAAGAGUAGAAACAGAGUAGAAGGAAAAAACAGACAAAGAACAGGGGACAAGUGAAUUGAAAAAACACAAAAAGGGGGGAGGGAGGGAAAAGAAUGAAAUACAAAAUAGAGAGUUAUGCCAAGAUUACAAAGUUGUGUCAAAACUAUCUAGAAUUGUCUAAUUAGAUUUGUUUGGCCUUUAAUGCCUCCAUUUUCAUCCUAAAUCAAAAUAUAAAAAUAACGAGUGCAUGUAGGCACCAAAUAAGUAUAAAAAAUUAAACAUUAUGGAAUAAAAAUAUGACAUUUGGCGUUCUCAUCACAUAUUAUGAACUGUUAUGAUGUAAUAUGUUGCAUGAAGUAUUCUCCGAAUAUAUAUGUUAUGAACUGUUUGUAUGAAACAUGUUAGGAACUUUUAGGAUUUUGUUGCAUAAAUAUUAUUAACUAUUAUCACGCUACAUAACACUAUUUCAAUUAUGCUUGCAGGUAUACAUUAAUGAAGCAUUUGUUUAUGAUUGAACUAUCUGAACUACUUACAUGCUAAUUCAUCCUCAUGAUGUUUUGUCACUAAUCAACUAAAGAGGGAGAUUGUAAAUGUCAAAAUGUUUGGUUUUGAUUAGUGAAAGAUUAUUUGCGUUGUUGAAGAUCAUUUUGUUUAGGUUUCUACUUUAUUCAAAUUAGAUAAUGAAUUAGUCAAGUUUAUCUCAUAGGAUAUAGCAUGAUUAUUUAUGUAAUUAUCUAUGAAUAAAUUAUAUAGGAAAUUCAGAUAAGUUUUAUAAAAAAAAGAAGAUAAAUACAAGUUAUCGGAAAAUAACAAUUAGAUAAGUGUUUUUGUGAAACAUGUUAGCAAUUUAUUAAGAAUGUAACAAACUAGGGAGCUUAAAGAUAAUGUUUAUUAAAUGUUCUUAUCCUUUUCACAUGGAUGUGUAUAUAAGGAAGGACAAUCAGAAGCAUUUGAGGGUUGCAUUGGAAGCGAAGAAAGAGUGCUCAACCAGCUAAAGAGUUACACAAAGUUUCACAGCAUAUACUCUUGGCACACAAGUAGAGUGUGAAGAAAAUUCUCAAGGAGAAUUGUUCUCAGAAGAGUUGGAGAGCCUGCAUACUUCCAGGGGGAGUUCCUAUGUUAACUAUUAGCAACUAGAUGUUUUAGUUAGGAUGAGAACAAUUUGAAGAUUGUUAGUUGUUUUGGCAAGCUAUUGCAGUAGAAGACAAAACAGAGUGUUUGUCUUGUGUUUGUCUUGACAAGUAAGGUAGUAUAGAUGCAAAGGAUUGGUAGUGAAAAAUACUCCUCUUGUAAUCUUCUAUACUAGUAAAAUUUGUAUAUCUUGAGUUUGGCUGCCCCAUAUGGUUUUUUUAUAUAUGUAUCUUUUGAAAAAUUAUUUAAAAUAUUUUCUCUUUAUAACCAAAUAAUUUGUUCAUUUAAGUUUUCUGUAGUUAUAUUUAUUUGGUUACUGAUCAGUGUUUGUAAAGUAUUAACAAAUUGAUUGUUAACAUACAUGGAACAUAAACGAGACUAUUAGUUAUUAAAAUGAUAAAUUUAGAAUCUUGUGUUUUCACAUUUUCCAUAUUAUAUAAUAUAUAUUAUCCAAAGUUUGCAAGCAGGUCAUCAAUGUUGAAUUAUGAUUAAAUUAUUAGCAUGUAUUAUUAAUAUUAAUAUCCGCGUUUAUUAGAUGGAUACCUUUAUUAAUUGAUUUGUUGUUCCCUUUUCCCUUGUGUAGCUAUUUGGUUUGGUAUGUGCAUCCGCGCCAAUACUAUUUAAUUGCAAUUCUCUUCAUCAUGUGAUAUAAUUAAAUGAUUAAAGUCAAGCCCAUACGUCCGCAACAGUACUCACCUGCCAAUAUUGUGAGAUUAUUACUUGCAAAAAGAAAACUCUUGUCUGUGUGUCUAUAUAUAUGAAAAUAAACUUACUAUUUAUUUAGUAAAAUAAAAAUUAGUUGAAAAGUCUUUAUUCAUUUUCACAAUAAACAACGAUAAAUAUCCGCACAUAAAGUUUCAACACCAAGAACCAUUCCAAAAACUUGGUACGAACCAUGCACCCACACAUGGUAUGGACCGAACUCCUUAACUAUUCAUAAAAACUUUAACUAUUUAAGUUAAUAAAAGCAUGGAGAAAAAUAUAAACAGGUAAAAAAGAUGAAAAUUGCAGAAUAUAUUUUUGAGUUGUGAAUAUGUUUUUGUAAGAAUAUCACUAGGGGUGAUAUUUAGAGCCAAGACAAGAGUAUUCUCCCCGGCCCCUCCUUAAAUUUCCCCGUACUUUAAAAUGCCCCCAUCCCUAUCAAAUAAUUCCAGCCCCUUUGUCCCCCCCAAAAAAAACCUCGCAAAUUCCCUGCACACAGCCCUGUGUGAGGGGUAAAGUCACGGGAUUAUUAGUGGAGCAAUUUGCUCCACUAACCAUAUAAACUAAGUACUCCUGUCAAGUGGAGCACUAAAGACAUAUAUUAUUAGUAUUAAAAUAAUAAUAAUAAUAAUAAUAAUAAUAAUAAUGGUACACACGCUUCAUCAUGUCACUUUUUUGGAAUAAUCCUUCUAUUAUAUCAUUGCUCACAAACAUGAUACUUAUAAAAAACAAAAAAACAGAAAACAAUGGGAUAAACAGGAUAGCUCACGGAAUUUCAGAUCUAAAUCAUGGAAUAAAAUCAUCUCUGUCUUGCGUGAUCGAUCGUGUAAUUUUUGUUCUUUUUUUUAAAUAGUCGUAACCGCAAACUUAAAAAACUGCAAAAUCACAUCUUUCUUUAUAUCUUCCGUUGCCAAGCAUCUUUUAUUAUACUCAUUUUUUUUUUUUUUUUUGUCAAAACCUGAAUAGGUUUGAUUCACAUUAUUUUCAAACUCCUUACGAAGAUUUUUUGUUUGUAGGCCAAGUGGUCAAGUAAACAUCGGUUCUAUUUGGGAAUGUAUUUGUACGGAAGUUAAUUUAUUAUUAUUUUUAAAAAUUAAAUUGUUUUGUUUUUAAAUUAUUUUAAUAUGUUGAUAUUAAAAAAUUUGACUUGACCCACUUUCUUCAGCAUCUAGUGUGAUAACUAAAAUCAAACGGCAUUGCAUUUGGUCUAUAAACUAUAAAUUAAGGUGUCAAAAGUGUGAUAUCCCACUUUCUUUAUUAUUAGUCUGUAACAACGUACCUUUUCGUUUCCUUUAUCACUACUGGCCAAAUUGAAGUUUCUCAAAUUCUAGAGUUAUAGUUUUAAAAUUAUAUAGGAAUUGAUAGAAAAUUCUGAUAUUUUUUUGAAAAGUUAGUAAAUCAAUAAUCUAAUCCUAAAACAAUAUUCCCAUUGUUGAUAUAAAACUUUAAAACCGACCUUAUCAAAAGAAUUAAAAACUAAGUGAGAAAAAUAAUUAAAAUCCAAAAUUAAUUAAAAAAAAAUUAAAAUUACAAAAAUCGAAUCUUCCAAGCCUAAUUUAAAAAGAUUUAUGUCGUGGAUAUAAAAUCAUCUAGUAAAAUUAGAGCAAAAUUCAAUAGUCGAAUCUAAAAUUAUAAUUGUUUUAGAUAUGUUUCAUGUCUUAUAUGUCUGGGUUUUUUUUGGAUUUCUUUUCAAGCAUGGCAUUAUUUACUUAGUUUAUAAAUCUAUUUAUAACAUUUUACAUGUUAGAAUUAAAGCAUAAAAUGUUGUGUACGCCGAUUCUUGACUUGCGGUGUUCCAUUUUGUUUUUGUAGUGCAUUUUUUAAAGUUGUUUUUGGGAUUUCUUUUAUUAUUAUUAUUAUUAUUAUUAUUAUUAAUCUAGCCAAUCAACUCAUCAGCCAAACAUGCCACAUCAAACUUAAUUAGGCAAUGAAAUUUAUUUGUAUCAAUGAAUUUUCUUUGCUCAAUUAUAUAAUAUACUAAAAGUAAUCAGUGUUCAUGUUACUGUUUACCUAGACACAAAGCAUUGUGGAUUGGAGUAGUGUAAUGACAAACAAUCCAUUACCACAGAGAGUUGCAAAGGCACUAGGGGAGGGUGGAGUUGUCUUUUUUGCUGGGAUGCAUUUGACAUUGAAAGAAUGGUUGGGGAGAAAAUGAUUAGCUCAAGUUUUGGUGGGGCUACAGGCCCUGCGAUGCGGACACCUGGUGCUGGGGCUAGCUUGCCCUGGGUGUGAGCCAGACCCACACCCCACUUGGGAAUACUUUGAACUACAAUAAAAAUAAAUAUUAAUACUUUCAAUUAUAAUAAAAAUAAAAAUAUUUGUACCGCAAAUAAUAAUAUUUAUACCACAAAUAAUACAAUUUUUAAUAUUAAUACUUUCAAUGAUAAUAAAAAUAAUAAUCUUUAUACCACAAAUAAUAAUAUUUUUUAUAUUAAUACUUUGAACUAUAAUAGAAAUAUUAAUACUUAUAACACAAAUAAUACUAUUUUCAAUAUUAAUACCUUCAAUUAUAAUAAAAAUAAUAAUAUUUAUGACACAAAUAAUAAUAAUAAAAUAAUAAUUUUUAAUUUUAUCCUUCAAAUCAAUUAUAUGGUUUUUCUUUGGUGGUUAUUAUUAUUAUAUUAUAUAUAAAGCUAAAUCAUGUGGGAAAAGUCAUGUUCAUCAAAACUCAUUGCACAUUUGGUGAGGGCAUGGUGAGCUGCAGCCUCACGCAUAGACACCUAGCGUAAGGGCAUUCAUGCCCAACCACAAAGAGUUCCAAGGUUGCAGGGGGGAAAGGUUAAGCCCUAGGUUACGGACACCUGGUGUUGGGGCUAGACCUGCGAGCCUGCUGACCUGCACGUUGGGUCCGAACAUGGACCACUUUCUAUUAGGUCAGGCGUCCUGUCCCAAAUCACUUGGGUCAGGACACAAACUAAGCCUUCAACCCCCUUGGGUCUGGACACGACCCAUUCCUAUACCCCUUGAGGUUCAGACACGACCCCAUCCCCAAUGCCCUUGGGUCCGGCCACGGACCCAAACCCCAACAUGAUUGGGUCCGGACACUAACCCAACCUCCUUGGAUCCAGACAUGAACCCACCAACCACCUCCAUAGGGUCCCCACCUGACCCGACUCCCAAGCCCCUUUGGUCCGGACGUGAACCCAACCCUCAACCUCUCAUGCGUCCAGACUUCGAAGGACCCAAACACCAACUCCUUAGGUCCGGACACAGACCCAACCCCCAACCUCACUUGGGUCCGGACACGGAUGGACCCAACCCCACCUUAGUUCCAGACGCGGAAGGACCCAAAACCCUUGGAUUCGACCACUUACAGACCUAUACCCCAACUUUUUUGGAUCCAGACAUGGACCCAUCCCCCAACCCCCUUGGGUCUGGACGUGGACCCAACCCCCAACCCCCUUGGGUUUUAAUUUCCUGAGUUAAUUUCAUCCUGGCUGGACUUUAAUAUCUCUAUAUACACACUUGAGGCCGGAUGAGCUUGUCUCUUUAGCAGGCCUUCUUAGGCUUUUGUUCUUUCAAACAAUGUCAGCUCUCAGCCCAUUAUUUUACAGAAAAUGUAAAAUACACUUGUCAUGGCUGAUUGAAAUCGUGGAAGAAAAAACUAGAGGAAAGAUAACCGAUUUACAGUUCAAACAAUGUCAACGAAGACCAAUGCAGAGGAAUUUCAAAGGCGAAAAAAGGUGGCGGCUCAGAAAGGCUUUACAAUGCAGUUCAUCUAAAGAUAAACCUAAUCUGAAUUAAUUGUUCGGUCUCCUUCAAAGCGAAAUAACUUUGCCAGGUUUCCUCCCAGUGAAAUUUCCUCCCAGGUAGCAAAUUGAUUUUUCAUCUCCGGUGUUCUUCCUAAAAAAUUAUUGUACGAAACGUUAAAAACUUUUAGAAAUUUCAGUUCAACGAGUUGUGCAGUAAUUCUCCCAUUCAAGUUGUUGUGUGAAAGAUCCAAGCUCUCUAUCUGCUUCAGAUUGGAGAUAGAUGGAGGGAUCAAUCCAGCCUUCUCCUUUACAGCUUCCAAAAGAAAAGGUGAGAAUGGGCUAUUCUUGCUUUUGAUUGAAAUCAUAACAUGCUCCACUGAUUGACUUUUGGUGUAACAUUUUGGUACGAAGCAUGCUUAUUGCCAUGUUUUAACAUGCCUUUAUUUUUAAUUUUUUUAUAAUGUCAUUUUAUUGUGUUGUGGGGAUUUAGACACUGUUAGGACUCUCUUUAUACCCUAAUCUUUAUAAAAAUCAUUAAAAUUAUUAUAACAAAACUCAUCUCCUAUCCAUUUUAAGUGCAUUUAUAAAAUAACCACUUUCUUUUCAAUUAAUAUCUUAAACUUCUUAAAACAAUUAAACUUUUUUAAAAAAAAUUAUAGGAUAAAAGGUAUAGACUACAUAUUUUUACCAAAUGAACAUUGUUUGAUAAAGUUGAAACAAGGUUUCUGAUAAUUGAGAAGCUUAAUCUAAUGAGAUAACCACAUUUACUAUUUAUAUUAUUAGGGCACUACAUGUGUUAUGGUGUAGCAUACUACACACGAUAAGUCAAUGCAUUAAUAAUACAAUAUUUUCUAUUCUAACACAUUCCAUAAUACAUCCUCUCAAGCCGAAGAUAAGUUAUUUACAUGAAGCUUGGAAUGUAAAUGAGCAAAUGUAGAGUAAAAGAGUGGUUUAGCAAGAACAUUUGCUUGACUUGUGGUGUUCUAUCUUAUUUAUGUGGUGCAUUUUUAAACUUGUCUUUUGGAUUUUUUUUAUUUUUAUCAAUCUUGUCAAUCAACUCAUCAGCCAAACAUACCACAUCAAACUUAAUUAGGCAAUGAAAUUUAUUUUUAUCAAUGAAUUUUCUUUGCUCAAUUAUAUCUAAAAUAAGAAGUGAAUACAUUAGAUAUAAAAAAAAAUACAUUUAUUUAUUUUGAGACGUCCUUGACAUUGAUGAUUAGUUGCCACUUCAUCAUCAAAUCAAAAUUAAAAUGUUAAUCAAAAUUUAUAAUUUCCAUUAAGCUCCAUUGAAUGUAAACAAUGAAUUUAUAAAAUAGUCAAAAGUGGGAUGUCGUGAUUUCAACAAUGCCGUUUCAGAAAAUUGAUAGUUAUGAUGAAAAGAAGAAUAUAGAAGUGUUGAGUUGAAACGUCGUGUUUGCCUGAAUUGUAUAGUGACAAUGGUGGAACUGAUGCGGUUGCAUAACAGCACCAACCAGUACUUUCCUAAUGAUUUCCUUGCGGAAGAAAUUAUGCAUGUUGGAAAACGAUGCCACCCUAACAAUCCAAGAGUUCAAAUUCAACUUGAAUAAAAGCUUGAUAAAUGGAUAAUUUAGAGGAUAAAGGAUCCAAGAAAUGAAACAGGGGAUUGUUCUAUUUUGUUAUGUAACAAUCUCAACAGGUAAUUAAGAGGUUAGAUUUUAGGGUCUAAUUUCAAAUGCAAGAUUCUAUUAAUUCUCAUCAUUAUAGUAAUAACACCAUGUACAUUAUUAUUAAAUUAAGAGGAAACACAAAAUUAAACAAGAAAAUCUUCAGAGUUCAGAAAUAAAUCUAACAUUGCCGAACAGACUGUGAGCAAACCCAGAUUUGGUGGAAGGUAGAAAUAUGAAGAGAGAGCAGAAAUUGAUGGUCUCUUCUGCUUUUCACGGUCUCCUUGUUUUGCAUAUAAGGUUCCGCCAUCUAAGCUUCUCAUUGGUCUCUUUAGCAGGCCUUCUUAGGCUUUUGUUCUUUCAAACAAUUCAGCUCUAAGCCCAUUAUUAUCCAAAAGAGUUGUUUCCAGUAACAAGUUACCUCGUUUUCUUUUCUUUUUUGUCACGAAAAAACAAGUAAAGUGUAUAUCUAUGGAAUUCAGUUACAGAAAAUGUAAAAUAUACUUGUCAUGGCUGAUUGAAAUCGUGGAAGAAAAAACUAGAGGAAAGAUAACCAACGAAGACCAAUGCAGAGGAAUUUCAAAGGGGAAAAAAGGUGGCGGCUUUAUGGUGCAGUUCAUCUAAAGAUAAACCUAACCUGAAUUAAUUGUUUGGUCUCCUUCGAAUCUUGAUAUGACAUUACAUUUUUAAAGUUAAAAGUGCUGAAGCACAAUUCAAAGAUAAUAAGUAGUCCAAUGGAGGAGAAUGGUGUGCUGAAACACUAUGAUUUUCAAAAAAAAUUGAAGCAUAUCAGAUCCAUGCUGCUGCAUUCGCAAGAAACGAGCACCCAUCAACAAUGUGCUAAAUGUCAAUGCAGAGCUUUAAAUCAUCUACAGAGGCUCAUGAAGAAAAUAGGCAUAAAUGAUAACAGAUAACACGCCAGAGCACUCUACGUAAACUGAUAUCUUUAGAAAAUUCAAAGGCAUGAAUGAAAAAGAAAAGCCAGAAAUAUCUAAGUCAACUCUUAAUUUGUAACAGUCCACAACUUCAUGUUUGGUGUUUCCAAUGUAUCGAUUGUAAUCAAUCAAGAGAUCAUCAUCUAUUUGUAACAGUCCACAACUUCAUGUUUGGUGUUUCCAAUGUAUCGAUUGUAAUCAAUCAAGAGAUCAUCAUCUAUUUGUAACAGUCCAUAAUUUCAUUAAAUAUGCAUGAUUCCAAUGUAUGUUAGUUAACCACAAGGCCAAAUAAACAACAGGAAUAAGAGAAACUAUUUUUUAUUUGAGAAAAUACGAUACUGCAAACUAUUUCUUAUGAAUAAAUCCGGUAUUACAAGAAGCCAAGAAUUGGUUGGUUGCUCAGCACAACAUAACAUAACUGGUACAAACAAUUACUGAUACAAGCACAAGGACAAACACAAGUCACAUCAAAACAGAAAGGCUAAGCAACAAGAACACUUCCACAGAGCACUUCUCACAGGCAAAUUGCUAAACAUGCAGUGAGCAACCAUUGAUUUGGAAUGCGACUGCUUCUCCACAGAGGAUUACAACAAAUUCAGAAAGCAGCCCACACGCUCCUGAUAAGAUCCAAUCACCUUCUGAAUCUGGACAACUUGGGAAAGUUUAUAGCCAAAAAGCAGCAGCAAGUGUCAAUGCAUUCUUCAAUGAAGUAAAACCACCUGCGUCGCCAAUACGGAUUUAUGCACAGUACUGCUGCAAUUGUCAACACCACAGUUAUGUAAAAACACACCAAAGCUGGCAUAGAAACUGUCCAUGUCUAUGAAGCCACCAUCUCCAUUGAAAUCGUUAGGCACUCUCGCGGAUGGUGAUUCUGUUUUGUCGCAACUAUUUUGCAAUGGAGGUCCACAAAGAAGAGGAUUCCCUUUAUAACUGCUCUCAUCAAAGGUACCAAAUUGAUUUUUCAUCUCCGGUGUUCUUCCUGACAAAUUAUUGUAUGACACGUUGAAAACUUCUAGAAAGGUCAGUUCAACGAGUUGUGCAGGAAUUCUCCCAUUCAAAUUGUUGUGAGAAAGAUCCAAGCUCUCUAUCUGCUUCAGAUUGAAGAAGGAUGAAGGGAUCAAUCCAGUGAGAUUAUUAUGUGACAGAUUUAAAGAAUAUAUCCCACUUAAGUUUCCCCAUUCUGUCGGGAUUUCUCCAGUGAAUCUGUUACAAGAAAGAUCCAUAACAGACAUGUAACGAAGGAUAUCGCCUUCGUAAGUGUAGAAACGUUUCUUUGCUGUAAGCUCUAUAGAUAUUUUUACACUGAUCGCUGCCCACAAAAUAUUGUGAUGAAGAGAAAAUCCUCUUCCCCCUAUGGAUGCAAAUUUUAAAAAUCCGCUUCCAGAAUCCAAUCCCGUACGAGGGGGAUCCAAAGUUUUUUCAUCUGAUGCCGUAAAAUUUAAAUUGCUCAAACAUGAGGGUAACAUACCAGAAAAAUUAUUUUCUGAAAGAUCCAAUAUGCUUAAUUUCUUUAAGAAGCAUAACUGACGAGGAAGUUUCCCAUUGAAUUGAUUAGAUUUGAGAACAAAAAUGCUCAAUUCUGAAAGGCUAUCAAUCCAAUUUGGAAUGGGCCCAGUUAAGUUGUUAUCGCCGAGAUCUAAUGUCACCAACGAAGAGAGAUUAUAAAAACAUAUGGCAGUGGACCGCUCAAUUGAUUUCCGUAAGGUGGACAUAGCGUAAAUCUGAUGCAUGGAAGCCCAACGGUAAUGACCCAGACAGAUUGUUUUCAGAAAGAUCUAAAAAUUCAAGCCCAGAAGAAUUGAAAUAUUCUAUUGGAAUGGUACCUUCAAAAUGAUUUCUGGACAAAUCAAUUCCCUCAAGUGUUUUGAAGAGUUCCCAUUCCCCUUGGAAGCAUGCCUGACAAAAGAUUGUUACUGAUAUCAACCACAAAAGUGAUGAUUCAAGAGAAAAGUACCUGAUACUUGUCCUACAAAUUUGUUUCCAUCUAGAAGAGGUAUAGGUAGUCAUGUUGAACACAGAUGGUGGUAAUCGCCCAUUGAAGUGUUGUUGGACAGCUUCAAAAACCACAACGAGGAGCCUACUGUUGGAAAUUAUGCUCAAGCAGUUCACAAGACAUGUGAUUGUUGGAAAGAUCCAAGUAUUCGAGAGAGCUCAUAUUCCCAAAACAAGGAGGAAUACAACCUGUGAGGCUGUUGUUAGCCAUCAUGAAGUUCUUCAAACGUGGAAAAAUCGAACAUAUGUUGCUUGCAAUUUGACCUUGUAUGUUGUUGCCAGACAUAUCUACUGUCUGAAGGUUGGGUGUUGGAUGUUGUGGCAGCUGCAAAGGACCACCUAUAAAUGAGGUGUCUCUCAAAUAUAGUCGAUUUAACAAUCUAUUAUUCUCAAACAGCCAAGAUGGGAAAGGUUCUCCAACGAAUUUGUUGUGGGAUAGAUCAACAAACACCAAAUCAUGUUGGCUAUGGAGGAAGUUUGGAAAUCCAGCUUUGAGUGGUUUUGGAGUACAGUUUGAAGCACUAAAAGCACGAAGCUGGAACUUUGGAACUAAAGGCUGAAAACUGGGUGCAGCAAUUAGCUCAUUGUUAUCGCAUGCAAUGAACUUGAGGUUGGUGAGGUUCAUAAAUGAACCAAAUGAUAUUGGAACUUGAAAGUGGUUAUUUGAAACUUCGAGGUAUUUGAGCUGCGUAAGAUGGGAAAGGUGACUAAGGGCAAUAUUGCCCUCCAAUUGGUUGUCAGAUAAAUCCAAGAUUUGUAAAGAUGAUAGAUUUCCAAAACAAGGAGGGAGUACGCCUUUUAGAUUGUUUCCUGAGCGAAUGUUUGAGAGAAAUAGUUGUUCAAGAUUCUUCAAUUCACACCAGCCUGUAAAAUAUAUCAAUUAUGUAAUAUAUCAAUAAUAUCUCGAAUUGAAGAAAGUCCAUGUGAAAGAGAAAGAAGAAAAGGUACGAUGAAAAGAGUGGUGGUACACAAUAUCCAUUCCUUUCAAUAUUAACUUAAAUUAGUAUCUUUAAGAUUGCAUUUUUUGUCAAGAAGGAUAGAGUGGAAGUAUCCAUUUUGUGUAUUGUAAUAUAAUCAUCUGUUAAGCAGAAGUAAAACAGAGGAAUGAUUAUGUUAUUUCUUGCGUGCGGAAUCCUCCUACCAUUAUAUAUAUACUUCCCCGCAUGCAUUACACGAUUUAUUAUAUUGUUAACUAACUUUAACCGUCUCUUAACAACUUCUAACACGUGUCCAUGCAUCUGUCAGCUAUCUUAAAUUUAAGACUGAGAAAUUUUAGAGAUUGAGAAACUCUAGAUUUUAUCCUUUUCUAUACGUAACAUUAGGAGUAAAUUUCUAGUUUAAUAAAACACAGAUAUAGCACAAAUAUCUAAUGAACAACUGUUAUUUGGAUUUCAAUACUCUUAUAAUUGUUCAUUUGUAGAAUUACCUUCAGCAGGUAGGGUGCCAUGGAAGUCAACUCCUCUCAAGGAUAGGACUUUAAGAGUAGACAAGAGUCCAAUGUUCCUAAGAAAGCUUGCUGGGAGAGAAGAAUAAUCGAGGACCACUUCUUCAAGGCUAGACGAAUUACACAACCCUGUGGCACAGAUCAUAUAAAUCCAUUAAUGAUAGUGAUAUAUAUAUAUAUAUAUAUAUCAUAUUGUUUUAGGCACCAAAUUAAACUGUUACUGACCUUUCCCAAAGUGUUUAAAAUUAAUAUCAUCGGCAUAUAAGGUCUUGAGGGAAGGCAACGCUCCCAAUGACUCUAUUAAAAUGUUUUCCUUGUAGUCAGUUGAAUCCAUAUACAAGAUUUCUAAAUUCCUUAAACCUGUGAUAGAGAGAACCAUUAAUAAUAAUUAAUUAAUAAUUUAUAAACGUUACAAGACAUAGCUUAAGUUUUAAAUUAAAAUAAUUUUUAAUAUAAUAUUAAAAUUUUAUUAAUUCAAUAUUCACCUUCAUUUAUUUUUUUAAAAUUAAAAAAUUGAACAAAAGUUAAUAGUACUGUGUGUAUGUAAGUUUCAAAUUAUUUCACUAAAGAAAAUGCAUUAAAGAAUUAAUUAUAUAAAGCCUUUUUAAGGUUUCAUCCAAACAACUUAAGGGUUAAUACACAUCUAAUUAUUGAACCUCACUAGAAAAUGCUAUCAGAGGUAAGAAUGAUUUACAACUUUACCAUUGAGACUAGUUGAUCCUGUGAAUCUAUUGUUUGAUAGAUAUAGAGAUUUAAGAGAUGAAAAACCACUUAGAGAUGAUAAAAUGUUGUCGUUAAAUUUAUUGCAUCUCAGAUCAAGUUCCUUCAAAUUCCUUAACCCUGAAGCUAAGACUUGAAAACCUGAAAGAAAAUUGUCGAAGCAAAGAAAUUAGCAUAUAUAUCAACCAUCCUAAUAUCCGUAAAGAUUCAAUGUAAAGUUACUUGAAAUAUAAUUAACUUUAUGUGUUAACUAAAAGAAAAUUGAAAGCAUAGAACCUUGGUUCUUUAAGCCACCAACUAAUUUGUUGACGCUUAAGUCGAGAAUCUCCAGUUCUUUGAAAGGCAGAAACAAAGACGCAUUGAGAUCCAAGUCGACUUCGACUACAUUGAGAUAAUCAUAAUUUACAUCUGAAAGAUAUAGUUCGAUCACUCGGUUUGUGGUGGUGUCACACACAACCCUAAGCCAGUUACAGCAAUUAAAAUGCUCUUUAUCCCAACCUUCUAGAUCAUAGGACACAGCUGCACGUGCAUGAUUGACCCAAGCUUUUAUCUGUAAGAGACUAAUUCUCUCUUCGUCCAAACAACAAUGGCUCCGGUCGUUGAAGAAGGCCAGUGCCAUGAGCAGCAUCCACACCCACAUUUGCCUCAUCUUCAUAACGCUCCACUUGACCACAUACAAAAGCAAGCAAGCUGUCUCUUAUAUACUAUUUAAUUUGUCCUCUUCAUGCAUUAAUUUGAUCGGACAGUGACAAUUAUCUGUAUCAUUGAAUUUUCUAUGCCGAAUUAAUUAUCCAAGGGAGACUUGGGCUGCAUCUGCCAGCUACCAUAAUUAAUCUGCACUAACAGUGACCAUAACAGCUGUAACAAUACUCCCUCAGUACUUGUAACAUCAUCCUAAUAUAUAUUGAAUUAUUUGAUGAAAACAUUAUCUAAAACAUGAUUAAUUGACAUAUUUAAAGUCAAAUAAAAAACAAACCCAACUUAUUUUUAAUAUUAAAAAUUAUUUUCCAAUAUAAAUUUUUUAAUAUAAAAAUUUAAUAAAAUUAAAAUAAAUUAUGAUUACUGUUUGAGAAAUUGAUUUGAUCUUGGGCCCCAUAAUUAUUUUCACUAGUCUGUUAAAGUUCUUUUUCAAGCUUAUGGAAUGAGGUGCUCCUUCAAGUUAUUGUGUAAGCUACUUUGUUUUUUUUUCUUUGUAGACUCGGGAAGUCAUUUGUUUGAACAUUUGAUUUUCUAAAAAGUUUUUAUAUCUAUUUGUUUCUGGAUUAUAAAAAUAUUUUUAAAAAAAAUUAAAUUUUUUAUUAUUUUUUUAUUAUUUUUAAAUUAAUAUAUUUUUAAUAUUUUUAAAUUAUUUUUAUGUGUUGAUGUCAAAAAUAAUUUUUAAAAAUAUAAAAAAUAUUAUUAAUAUAUAUUUUAGUACAAAAUAUUUUUUAAAAAAGAAUCUCAACCAGACGGUUAAUCUCAUCAUCCACUAGCGCAUGUUUUUAUUCUUCCGGAGACCUGUGAAGUCAAGAUUCUCAAUUAUCCACUGCAUCAAUCUCUAUCCCAUCAAAAUGAAUUUGGUGUAAGAAAAAAAUAUCUGAUAUAUGUGAUUUACUCCUGGUUUGACCCCUCCCUCCCUCCAUAAAGUUAUCAUUUAACUCCACUUUCGAGAUAAAAUCUUAAACUUCUUUAGAUUUUUUCCUACCCUUGAAAUUGUUAUGAACAUAAGUAAAAGAGAUGAAAACUCCUUUACCCACGUAUCGAGCAUACCCUAGUUACAUAACACUAGUUAAAUCUUGACAUAACAUUUCAAGUUAAUUAAUGGCUAGGAUUUUGUUUAGUGGAUUUUUUUUUGAAAUUAAAUAUCAUAUCAAUAAAUAAAUAGCAACUAAAAAUAUAACUACUAAAAUAGAUAUUUUAUUUUGUUAAUUUUAUUUGAAAAAGCUUUUGAACAUAAGGACUCCAUAUAUAUAUAUAUAUAUAUAUUUUUAUGCUUAUUAUAUUGGAUAUGUUUAAUGCCCCGGUAAUAACCAGGAUAGGAGGCCGACUUAAUUAGAGUUGAUAGGGCACAAAUAUAUAUAUAAUGUGCUCCGAUUAAUACAAAAAUAAUUAUAAUAAUAAUUAAGGUUUGUUUUUUUAUUCAGUUUGUUGUUAUCUAUUUUUAGGUUCUCUCACACAAAACAAAUUUGAAAGAAAACAAAAAAUAUGAACAAUUGAUUUGAUCUUAUGAAAUACAUGGCAGAAGAGAUUAGAAAAUGAUUUCCAUUUGUCAGAAAUACACCCCAAUAGUCUUAAUUUGAAUUGCACUUUGCACUCCUUUUCCAGCGAUCAAUAGCUAGGAAACCUGUCAGUGAAAUCUUUAUUAUUUGCUCCGGGUUGCUGCUGCUGGUUACUCUGUCACGGAUUAUUAUUUUUCAGUAGUCAGUUAUCCUAGUGCUUGCUUGGACAUGCUCAACAAUGGAGUUUCUCUAAAUGUAAUUCCCACAGUGAAAUCUUCUGUCAAAGUCAUUCCAAGCCGGAAAAGAUCAGGAAAAUGAAGUCUUGAAACAUCAAGCGAAUAGAGCCCAGCAGGAAAAAUUCGUUUCUGACGGUGAGAUUUGUAAUGUGAUCCUAGCUAGUAAACCCAAGGUUGUCAAUUCGGUUCCGUUUCGUCCGGAAUGACCGAAACAUUCAUACCAAUUUAAAAAACGGAAUAAAAUGGAAUAAAUUUCAUCUCAUUUUAAAUCUCGAUCUGUUCCGGAUUUUUCAGCUAAAUUCCGCCCGGAAUGUUCUGGUUUCAUUUUACAUGUUCCGUUCCGCUCUUGAAAAGCCAUUGAAUCAAAUUGAACCUUGUUCAAUUUAAUUAAUUAAACCAUCCAAUUAUAAAAAGCUCAUUUUCAUUACUAUUCUCAAUAAUGACACGAUCAAAAGAUUGAUGUCUCUCCCAAGUGCAGGAGUGUUGAAGUAAUAAAUAACCCGGUAAGACCGGGGUCAAACCACAAAGAGGUUAAUUGUAUAAAUUAUAAAUAACAAUAGAACAACAACAAAAACAAUAAUAACAACAAUAACAACAACAAUAAUAACAAUAAUAGUAAUAAUAAUAAUAAUACUCAGUACGUGGCGUUGUUAUACCUGAGAAUGAUCUAAAAGAUCGGGUCACAAGUUUCCAGCCUAUAUACUGAUCGAGUUUAUAAAAAGAUCAAAGAGAUAUAUUAUAUAAUAUAAACAGAAUGUAAAUAAUAAUAAUAAUAAUAAUAAUAAUAAUAAUAGUAGUAGUAGUAGUAGUAGUAGUAGUAGUAGUAGUAGUAGUAAUAGUAAAAAGAAAAGGAAGAAGAAAUUAAUGAGAACUUUGAGAUGGAAGAAUAAUGUAAGGAUUAAACAAUGAUAAAAACAAAUGUCAAGGUUAGAGGAUCCACCAAUGGUAUUUCAAACAAGUAUAGUAUAAACUCUUAUUACUCAAUUUGGAAACCACACACGAGGAGGUUCCAAUCGGAUGAUUUGUCAUUAAUAGCUCAUUAUAAAUUAUUAACAUGAUCAUAUUAAUUAUCUUAUUUACAUAACACCAAACUUUUAAAUAUUCAGGAAUUCAUGAUGUUAACUGAUGUUAACAACAAAUCAAGUUCCUUUCAUAGCCAGGUGUAGGUAAUACCAUACGGUUGGGCUAUGAGAGUGCCAAGCAUUUGUUGUACCAAGUGUUAUACAACACAAAUCUAGAUUAACCAUUUAACAAGCAAGGUAUUAAGAAUUAGUAAGAUAAAAAGAUAAGACAUGUUAAUAUUAAACAUUAAGGUCCAUGUUGAGUUUACACUAUACUUAUUCUUACACCAUUAGUGUAACCUUUUCACCUUGACAUAAUAAACUUAGCUAAACAUAAUGAAGAAGAGAAACAUAAAUAAACAAAACAAGAACAUAAAGAAAAUACAAGUUAACUAAGUAAAGGAAAGGAAAUGAAAAGCAUAAACAAGAUAUUAAUGAAAGCAAAACUUAAAAAUUACAAAAAAAAUAUAAAGAGAGAAAUAAAGAGCAUGAACUUGAUCUGAACAACCAAGCCCCUAAAUACAUGGCAAAUGCCUCCUUUUAUAGGCCAAAAUUCAGAAUUAUUGAUUUGAUGACUAAUUGUUGAGUGGGUGGCCAACUUUUGACUUUGUGAAAAUCCUUAUCUUCUUGUCUGAAUAAAACAAAAUGCUAGCAUCAGAACUGGGUCCACUUGAAAACAUGAAAGUUGUAGGAAAUUGACUCAGCUUUCCAGGAAAAAAAAUGGAGGUCAUUUGGACUUCUAGAACUCCAGAUAUGGGCCAAACACUAAACAAUGUUCGGGCUGCAGGACAGAUUCAGACUUCUCCGUUGUUGCUAUAAUUUGGACUUGCAAACGGCCUUCUUAGAUCUUGAUGAAAACAUGAAAGUUGUAGGCAUAUGUCUUAGUGAAUUUGUGUAAAAAUUUGAGAUCAUUUUGACAUCUAGAACACGAGAUAUGACCCAAUUACCAAACAGUGUUCCAGUUUGGACUGCACCAACAUCUCUUUUCUAAGCUUCACCCUCUUUUUGUCCUUUCAAUUUCCAUACUUGAACUCAUCAAUCAAUCCAUUGAUUUAUAUGAUAGGCCUGCAUUUAAGAUGAACAUUUACCAUAUAUUAAGGCAUUUUAAAGUAUUAGACUUGUUAUUAUAAAACAUUCUUUAGUUAAGGAGUUAUUAAUACUUUAAGUGCAAAAUGAUGAUAUAAAACCUUGAUAAAUAUGCACUUUUAAGUACUAAUCAAGUAACAAUGAUAUUAAUAAUAAUAUUGAAAAUUAUUAUUACUAUUUUCAUUAACAAUGAUAUUAAUUUUUUAAAAUUAGAUUUAUCACUAAUAUAUACGAUUUAUAUUCAUGUUGUUUUUUUCAUGUUUAUACUUUGUAGGAAUUUUAGCAAAAUAAGAGAUUCUUUAGAUUCCAUUAGCCUUGAUAACAUUGACCUAAUUUUAUAUUUUAAAUAUUUUUGUUAAAACAUUUUACUUUCAUAAUAUUUUGAUAUUUUGUUCAAGUUGAAUUACUUUAAGUUAAAGAUUUAUUUAAUAUUGACUAUUUAGAAAUAUUUUAAAUUUUAAAAUUAUAUUUGUUUGGCAUUGUGUUUGUAUUGCUUAAUUUAUAAUUAAUUUAUCUUGAAUUCGAAUUAUGUUUGCUGAAUAUAUAUAUAUAUAUAUAUAUAUAUAUAUAUAUAUAUAUAUAUAUAUGAACAAUACAACCCCGAAACGACACACCGAAAUACUUCAAAACUAAAACAUUUUAUUUUAAUUGAAAAAAAAAAAUACCUACCGGAACGAAAUUGACAAUCUUUAGUAAACCUCAACCAAAGAUCAUAAUGCCAAAAUUGUAGUCAAAGAGACUUGGAACUCCCUGCUGAUGGGCUGUUUAUUCUGCCAAAAUUGCAUGGGCCGUUUUACAGCCUUCGUAAUGGGCUUGGCUACUUUGGGUAGUUAAAAAAACCCAAAUAGAUAAUGUUUUCUUUUCCUUUGGUAUCCGUUUAAUCAAUCUUCUGGUUUGAUCCUUGAUAGUGCUGUGUUUUGAUGCUUGUCGAUUAGCCACAAUAAUGUUAAAUUUACAAGGACAGAUCCAAGAAAAGCAAUGCAGGCCUGUAUUUACUUUCAUAUUAAUUAUUGUUUGAAUAUUCUUAAUCUGAAUGAUAUUAGUCCAUUCAAAACAAAUUCAUUUUCUUUUUUAUAAAUAUAUUUAUAUAACAAUGAAAGAAGAAAAUGCAUUGAUUAAAAUAUUAUUGAUGUGUUUGAAUGAAGAAAGUUAGGGCAGAGAUGACCAAUAUAAAGACCGUGUGGGCCAAUAAAAUGAAUACAAAAAACAAUAUCAAUGGCUUGCAAAAAAAAAAAGUUUUAUGUUAAAUUUAUCUAUAUGUUAAAUUACUUGAUUAACUAAACUUAAUCCUGUAAUAUUAAAUUAUUUGAUGAAAAUAUUAUCUAAAACAUGUUUAAUUGACAUAUUUAAAGUCAAAUAAAAAACAAACCAUGUUUACUGUUAAUAUUAAAAAUUAUUUUUCAACAUAAACUCUUUAACAUAAAAAUUUAAUACAAUUAAAAUAAAUUAUGAUUAUUGUUUGAGCAAUUGAUUUGAUCUUGGACCCUACAAUUAUUUUCGUUAGUCUGUUAAUGUUUUUCUUUAAGCUUGUGGAAUGGGGUGUUCUUCUAAUUUAUUGUGUAAGCUAUUUUGCUUUUUUUUUUUUCAUAGACUUGGGAAGUCAUUUGUUUAAGCAUUUGAUUCUCUGGCAAGUCUUUAAACGCAUUCAUAUUUGUAUUUGGUUAUAUAUUGAAAAAUAUAUAAAUUGUAGGCCCUAUUGUUUAUAUAAGGUAGUACUCGAUUAUGAAAAAGCAAUUAUUUUAUUGCUUUUUUGCAAGUUUAAUCAUUGGUUGAAUUUUUUUAUAUGGCCGGCAUAGUGAAUUCUUAAAAAAAAAAAAAAACAUGUUUAUUAAUUGGGAAUGGAAAUUAUUUUUUCAAUUAUUAAAUUUUUAAAAAAAAUUCAAGAGCACUAAAAUAGUUUUUUUUAAGAAACUUGUUUUUCUUCUUCCACUAGCACUUGUUUUUUUUUUCGUAGACCUGUGAAGUCAAAAUUCCCAAUUAUCCACUACAUUAAUCUCUAUCCCAUCAAAAUGAAUUUGGUCCAAGAAAAAAAAUAUCUAUAUAUGUGAUUUAGUCCUGGUUUUAUAAAUUAAUUAGAAAGUGUAAAUUAUCUGUAUCAUUGAAUAUAUACAAUUUUGUCCUCUUCAUGCAUUUGAUCGGACAGUGACAAUUAUCUGUAUCAUUGAAUUUGCUAUGUUGAAUUAAUUAUCCAAGGGAGACUUGGGCUGCAUUGAAUGGGAGAGUCUUCACGGACAGUGCUAACCAGGGGCCCGCACCACGGCACAGAUCGCUCGGUUUGUGGUGUUGGAUUAAAGGAUAUUAAUUCCAACUUCUUGUUUACUGCUUUGCUUUUCUUCAUAGACUUGGGAAGUCAGGUGCUGUUUAUGAACAAUUGAUUUGAUCUUAUGAAAUACAUGGCAGAAGAGAUUAGAAAAUGAUUAAUAUUAUCAAUAAUUUCUUCUUACUGCACCUACUGAUUUUUAUUUCUUGUGAAAUAUUUAGAAUAUCUCUUUUGAAAUAUCAAUAUCGCCUACCCCCACUUCCUUCAUUUUUGUUAACGGAGUGAAAUGAUUUCCGACGCAGCUACUAAUUUCAUCAGCCACUUUCACUUGUUUUUAUUCAUAGACUUGGGAAGUCAAGAUUCCCAUAAUCAAAAUGAAUUUGAUCGAAGAAAGGAAAAAAUGAAAAAAAAAAAAAAACAUUACCAGUGGCUUACAAAAAAUAAAUAAAUAAAACCAUCAAUUACGAGCUUCAUAAGAGAAUUUUAGCUAUUUUGUCUUAAACUCAACAGAAUAUUCUUUAGGAAGCGUUGGGAACGGUGCAAACCGCGUUCCCACCAAAUUUUAAAUUUUUUUUUGUUAAAAUUUAAUAUAGUUUGUAUUUUUUGGAUUGUUUUGAUGUGCUGAUAUUAAAAAUAAUUUUUAAAAAAUAAAAAAAUAUCAUUAACAUAUAUUUUAGUACAAAAAAUUAUUUUAAAAAUAACUAUUAACAUACUUACAAACAGGACAGUUAAUCUUCAACUAAUCAACCGAUGAUCAUAAAUGAUGCCAAAAUUGUAGUCAAAGAGACUUGGAACUCCCUGCUGAUGGGCUGUUUAUUCUGCUAAAAUUGCAUGGGCUGUUUUACAGCCUUCGUAAUGGGCUUGGCUACUUUGGGUGAUUAAAGAAACCUAAAUCGAUAAUGUUUUCUUUUCCUUUGGUAUCCGUUUAAUCAAUCUUCUGGUUUGAUCCUUGAAAGUGCUGUGUAUUGAUGCUUGUCGAUUAGCCACAUAAUGUUAAAUUUACAAGGACAGAUCCAAGAAAAGCAAUGAAGGCCUGUAUUGGUCUCUGAGAGUUCAAAAUAAGACCCCCUGAUAAAGGCUGCAAUCAUUGCUUGAACCCCUGUAAAGGGGCCUUGACACAUGCGGUCCACUGAAGAAGUACAGCACCGUUCUUUAUUUAAUUCUUAUGGUUUAAAUCUACUAAUGACUUAGUCAUUUUGCAUGCUAUUUUUCCACUUGUUUUCUAAAAUAGAGAAAAGAACUGUUAAGCAUGCUGGAUAUUUCGCAUAAUAAGCUCUCCGGUCCUUUAUCCGGAGAGCUUAAUUUAACUUUCAUGGCAAACGAUGCAAAAUGCUAUGUAUCUUUUACUUGGCCUAGUAUUCAAUAUUUUGAUCAGUCAAAUCUUGUACUCAUGGGUUUGCCUCAAGUAGGCGAUUCUUAUCGUGAAACUAAGUACACAAACAACAUUGCACAUUAAUCUGUCGAGUUCUCAACAAAAAGACAGUCUUACUCCUAUCGAGAUGAUCUUAUUACUUUCAUGUCUGGUAUUGAUUUUUCUUGCAACGGAUUCACUGGCAAAAUCCCACCAAAUUUAGAGAUUGUAAGUGAGCUACGAGCGGUAAAUCUAUCACACAUCAAUCUCAUUGGAUCCAUCCCCGCAACUCUUUAGAACCUGAAGCAGAUUGAGAGUUUGGAUCUUUCUCACAGCAAAUUGACCGGUAUCAUCCCUUCGCAGCUUAUUGAGGUGAGCACAUUGGAGGUUUUCAGUGUUGCAUACAAUAACUUGUCCGGUAAAACUCCAGAGAGGAAAGCUCAGUUCGGCACCUUUGAUGAAAGUAGUUAUUAAGGAAAUCCUCUUCUUUGUGGACCUCCAUUGUGAAUUUGCAGUGAAACAAACUCGUAAUUGCAGCCUGUACCUAAUAAUGAACAAGAAGAUAAUAAUGGUUUCAUAGACAUGGAUGCUUUCAUUGUGAGCUUUGAGGCAUGUUACAUAAUUGUCUCGUUGGCAAUUGCAGCAGCUCUUUACAUAAAUCCUUACUGGAGAAGAAGAUGGUUUUACUUCAUUGAAGAGUGCUUAAGCAAUCGCUACUGUUUUGUGUGCAGACGUAGGCACAUCUUCAGAUGGACAUAGGGGUUGAUGCUUGCCAUUUGUUCUCAGUUAUACUAAGAAAGAAUGAACCGCGACUCUGUCCACCAUUCUCUCCUGUGCAUGAACAAAUUAGUGAAGGAAUAUUUGCAGUGAUAUAUGUUAAUGGUUUCCUGACUUCAUUAGAAUAUUUUGCUCCCAUUUUCUUUGCUCCAUGAACUGAAUAUAUAUUGCAACAUAAUUGUGGUGUUGUCAAUCACAGCAAUUAUGCACAUAAAUCCUUACUGGCGCCGCAGGUGGUUUUACUUCAUUGAAGAAUCGCAACUAUUAUGCUGCUGUUUUCUAGUGGUUAGUUUCCGUAAGCUGUCCAACAUCAUGUCAUCGAACCUCUGUAUAAUCAUUCAAUUAGAUGACACAUUUAAAAAUUUUAAAAACUAAUAAUACUAUAACUAUGAAGAACACCUAAAAUAUUUAAUUUUAUUCUUCCAAGUCUCUGCUAAACUAAUGAUACACAAUUGUGGUACUAGCAAUUGCGGCAGUUUUGUACAUAAACCCAUAUUGGCGACAUAGGUGGUUUUACUUCAUUGAAGAGUGCAUGGAGACUUGCUACUACUUUGAAUUGCAUACAUUUCAUAAGCUAUCCUCCUUCACAAGGCCAUAGGGAUCUGACGCGUGCCUUUUGUUUUUUCAUAUUUUUUAGUUUGAACUAAUAAAACCUUUACUUUUUUUCAAGCUUCAGUUCAUUUUAUUGCAGUUUCUCAAAUGAAUUCUACAAAUUCAAGAUAUAUAUCCAUCCUUAAUGCCAUAUUAAAGAGAAUAUAUAGAGAGAAAAAGAGGAGCUUUACGUGAUAUGGAUAGCGUGAUGCUCCUAAGCCUAGAACCAGCUAAAACUUAAUAUUAUGAUGAAUAAUUCAGCAAAACUUAAUUCAAUUUCAACUUCCAAUCUCAUCAUUAGUACAAAAUGCACAGUCAGAUUGAAAGGAAAUUGAUUGGAACUUGAAAUUCGGGUAACAAUACUUCUAGCAGAGCUUCCUCCUUACCCUCUCCCUAUUGUAUCUUCUUCGAGUGGAACUCUAGCUUUUUGCCCUCCAAGAUAUAUGUUCUCAUCUUUCUCCAGUACUCUCUUUUCCAUCCAGCAUAAGCAAUCACAACUUACCUCAACGGAAAACUUUAUAGCCAACUUCAACCAAUAUUUAAAAGGAAUUUUGUCCUUUGUUUAAUAAGCAAAAUCAACAGAACCUGUCUUUGACUUUCUAGCUCAUAUAUAGCAGUAGCCAUUUUAAGGAGCAGAAACAAACACUGUAGAGAUUUAUCAUCACGAAAAUCUGGUUGAUUUAUUAUCACGAAAAUCGAAAAUCUAGUUGAUUUAUCAUUACGAAAAUCUAGUUAAAACAAAUUAAUAUGAAAUCAAAUCGAGGAUGAAAGGUUGAUUUUGAGAUCAAGAAUAGCAUAUAUUAAAAAGAUAAUAAAUAAAAUUAGAGUAAUAACAUUGAUACAACUUAUCAUUAAAUUUCAUUUGCAAUUUCCUCUCGAUUUUCUGUAGUUCUGUAGAGACAAAGAUUAGUUGGUCCUUACGGGAAUUUUUCUUCCUUAAUUUCACUCCCAUUUCCCAAACGAUGGAAUUCAUACAACCUUUCGAUUUUAUUUCCACGUAAAAUCCAUUCUUCUCUAUCAAACAGAACAUAAUAAUGGGCCAUAUUUUAAUUUAAAUAUCUUUUUCCUAAUAUUUAAAGCUUUUUUGCUGGGAAAAUAUCAUGGGGAUUUGAGAGAAAAGACAAUAGAUAAGAAAGCACAUGAAAAAAAGUGAGAGAAAAUGAUGGUGGGUCUUCAUUAUUCAAGGACCGUAUUGGAACUCUUUGGAGGCAUGCGUGAGAGGUGAAAUGGAAACGUAUAGGGACCAAAUUGUUAUUUCAAUGAAUAUAUAGGGCUUAAAAUGCAAUUUACCCUUAAUUUUUUCAUGGAUGACGCAGUCACAAGGAGAGGAUAUAUAUAUGUCAUUUCUGAAAUGAGAAGACAGGCAGUGGCAAUAAGUAAAAUUUCAUAAAUCAUCAUCAAUCAAAAAUCAUGACGUGGGGACAGAUUAGACGGUUGAUUGUGACUUUUUUUACCCUCUCUUUCUCCCGGUGGGGGGUUUUAGGACAGUAUCGCGCGAGAUGCGCGGGCGCUGUGCUCUUACAUUUCCAAGGUGUAUAGUGGGAUCCAUGUCUUUAUUAAACCAAUUAAACCCACUGGGAUUCUAGUUUUUUUUUUUAAAAAAAAAACAUUUCAUAAAAGUCCUCAAACUUCGAGUCUCAUCUCUAUCAUAGCAAUAUUAUAAUUUUUAUUCAUUUUUAGUUAACAAAAAGUUUAUGUAAUCAAUUGAAGUUUAUAUGGUUUUUUUUUAUAUAUAAAAAACCAAUGAAUUCUUUAAAAAUCUCAUUUUAAAUCGCUUGAAACUAAUUUCAUAAAGAAACACAAAGAUUUUACAUUUAUAUAAUUUGUUUAAUUACAUAAACAAAUUAUAUGAUAAGAUGAAGAGAUAUCACAUAAUUGUUUGAUUUUAUAACCCUUUAAAACAAACUCAUCAAAAUAUUUAAUCCAAAUUCUGAAUAAGUAACCAUAUCUAAUGUAGAUAGUUUUGAAUAAUUUGAUAAUUUUUAAUAGUCAAAUGUAGAUUUAUCACAAUUUAGAUCAUAAAUAUAUAACCCAAUAAACUCAUAAUAUGAACAAAUAUAACUGGGCUAACUUAAGAAAAAAAACAAAUUGGUGCAAAAUGACUAAUCUAACUAUAAAAGUUUAAAUUUUAAUUUGACCUCAUGGAAAUCAUUCUCAAAUUUAAUUAGGAGAUUUUAUGGUUUUAAUCUAAAAAAUUUUGCAUUUUAUAUUGUAAAAACCUAUAUCAUAUCAAGAUUAAACUUCAGUAAAAAAAAAUAUUAGAAGGAGAGUUUUUUUAUAUAUAGAAUUACGUUAUAAAAAAAAUAUUAGUCUAACUUAAGUUUGGAAUGAAAACUUAAGUGAAAUUUAACAGUCUGCAACAACAAUCCUUUACCAUCCACCAUUAAAUGAUCAACAGAUUUUUUUAAGGACAAUAUAAAUUCUGAAAGAGCGUAGACAUGAAUGACAGCCAAGAACCACCCAACAGCCAUGCAGGGUCUAGUCUGCAUGGCAAUGGUCCACUCAAUCGCUGAAUCCACAUGAACAGUCUAAUGAACUGCUCAACAUGCAUUUGGUUCUGGUAAUUCAAUUAUGCGAAGGGUGUAGGUCCGAAUUCUUCAACUUAAACAAACAUGUUUGCGUAAUUAAGUGUUCAAUCACGUACUUAAUUUGCUAUUGAAAACAUUUAGAAUUUAUCAACAAUUUAAUUAAGCAGGUGUAUACAACCUUCCAACAUUAUGGAAUAAAAAUAUGACAUUUGGCGUUCUCAUCACAUAUUAUGAACUGUUAGGAUGUUGCAUGAAGUAUUAUCUGAAUAUAUAUGUUAUGAACUGUUUGCAUGAAACAUGUUAGGAACUGUUAGGAUGUUGUCGCAUAACUAUUAUCAUGCUACAUAACACUAUUUCAGUUGUGCUUGCAGGUAUACAUUAAUGAAGCAUUUGUUCAUGAUUGAACUAUCUGAACUACUUACAUGCCAAUUCAUUCUCAUGAUGUUUUGUCAUAAAUCAACUAAAGAGGGAGAUUGUAAAUGUCAAAAUGUUUGGUUUUGAUUAGUGAAAGAUUAUUUGCGUUGUUGAAGAUUAUUUUGUUUAGGUUUCUACUUUAUUCAAAUUAGAUAAUGAAUUAGUCAAAUUUAUCUCAUAGGAUAUAGCAUGAUUAUUUAUGUAAUUAUCUAUGGAUAAAUUAUAUAGGAAAUUCAGAUAAGUUUUAUAAAAAAAAAGAUAAAUACAAGUUAUCGGAAGAUAACAAUUAGAGAAGUGUUUUUGUGAAACAUGUUAGCAGUUUUUUAAGAAUGUAACAAACUAGGAAACUUAAAGAUAAUGUUUAUUAAAUGUUCUUAUCCUUUUCACAUGGAUGUGUAUAUAAAGAAGGACAAUCAGAAGCAUUUGAGAGUUGCAUUGGAAGCAGAGAAAGAGUGCUCAACCAGCUAAAGAGUUACACAAAGUUUCACAGCAUGUACUCUUGGCACACAAGUAGAGUGUGAAGAAAAUUCUCAAGGAGAAUUGUUUUAAGAAGAGUUGGAGAGCCUGCAUACUUUCAGGGGGAGUUCCUAUGUUAACUAUUGGCAACUAGAUGUUUCAGUUAGGAUGAGAAUAAUUUGAAGAUUGUUAGUUGUUCUGGCAAGUUAUUGCAAUAGAAGACAAAAUAGAGUGUUUGUCUUGACAAGUAAGGUAGUAUAGAUGCAAAGGAUUGGUAGUGAAAAAUACUCCUCUUGUAAUCUUCUAUACUAGAUAAAAUUUGUAUAUCUUGAAUUUGGCUGCCUCAUAUGGUUUUUUUUUUAAUCUUUUAAAAGUUCUUCAGAAUAUUUUCUCUUCAUAACCAAAUAAUUUGUUUAUUUAAGUUUUCUUGUUAAUAUACAUGGAACAGAAACAAGACUAUUAGUUAUUAAAAAUGAUAAAUAUUUUAGAAUCUUGUAUUUUCACAUUUUCCAUAUUAUAUAAUAUACAGUGUCCAAAGUUUGCAAGCAGGUCAUCAAUGUUGAAUUAUGAUUAAAUUAAUAGCAUGUAUUAUUAAUAUUAAUAUCCGCGUUUAUCAUAUGGAUACCUUUAUUAAUUGAUUUGUUGUUCCCUUUUCCCUUGUGUAGCUAUUUGGUUUGGAAUGUGCAUCCGCGCCAAUACUAUUUAAUUGCAAUUCUCUUCAUCAUGUGAUAUAAUUAAAUGAUUAAAGUCAAGCCCAUACGUCCGCAACAGUACUCACCAUAUAUAUAUAUAUGAAAAUAAACUUACUAUUUAUUUAGUAAAAUAAAAAUUAGUUGAAAAGUCUUUAUUCAUUUUCACAAUAAACAACGAUAAAUAUCCACACAUAAAGUUUCAACACCAAGAACCAUUACAAAAACUUGGUACGAACCAUGCAUCCACACAUGGUAUGGACCAAACACCUUAACUAUUCAUAAAAACUUUAACUAUUUAAGUUAAUAAAAGCAUAGAGAAAAAUAUAAACAGGCAAAAAAGAUGAAAAUUGCAUAAUAUAUUUUUGAGUUGUGAAUAUGUUUUUGUAAAAAUAUCACUAGGGUGAUAUUUAGAGCGAAGACAAGAGUAUUCUCCCCGGCCCCUCCUUAAAUUUCCCCGUCCUUUAAAAUGCCCCCAUCACUAUCAAAUAAUUCCCUGCACACAGCCCUGUGUGAGGGGUAAAGUCACGGGAUUAUUAGUGGAGCAAUUUGCUCCACUAACCAAAUAAACUAAGUACUCCUGUCAAGUGGAGCUCUAAAGACAUAUCUUAUAAUAAUAAUAAUAAUAAUAAUAAUAAUAAUAAUAAUAAUGGUGCACACGCUUCAUCAUGCCACUUUUUUGGAAUAAUCCUUGUAUUAUAUCAUUGCUCACAAACAGGAUACUUAUAAAAAAAUAAAAAAACAGAAAAUACAAUGGGACGUGAUAAACAGGAUAGCUCACGGAAUUUCAGAUCUAAAUCAUGGAAUAAAAUCAUCUCUGUCUUGCGUGAUCGAUCGUGUAAUCUUUGUUCUUUUUUAAAAAAGUCGCAACCGCACACUUAAAAAACUGCAAAAUCACAUCUUUCUUUCUAUCUUCCGUUGCCAAGCAUUAUUUUCAAACUCCUUACGAAGAUUUUUUGUUUGUAGAUCAAGUGGUCAAGUAAACAUCGGUUCUAUUUGGGAAUGUAUUUGUACUGAAGUUAAUUUAUUAUUAUUAUUUUAAAUUAAAUUGUUUUGUUUUCAAAUUAUUUUAAUAUGUUGAUAUUAAAAAAUUUGACUUGACCCACUUUCUUCAGCAUCUAGUGUAAUAACUAAAAUCAAACGGCAUUGCAUUUGGUGUAUAAACUAUAAAGGUGUCAGAAGUGUGAUAUCCCACUUUCUUCAUUAUUAGUCUGUAACAACCUUCUCGUUUCCUUAUAUCACUACUGGCCAAAUUGAAGUUUCUCAAAUUCUAAAGUUACAGUUUUAAAAUUAUAUAGGAAUUGAGAGAAAAUUCUGAUAUUUUUAUUGAAAAGUUAGUAAUUCAAUAAUCUAAUCUUAAAACAAUACUCCCUUUGUUGAUAUACAAGUUUAAAACCGACCUAAUCAAAAGAAUUAAAAACUAAGUGAGAAAAAUAAUUAAAAUUCAAAAUUAAUUAAAAAAAUAAUUAAAACUACACAAAUGGAAUCUUCUAUGCCUAAUUUAAAAAGAUUUAUGUCGUGGAUAUAGAAUCAUCUAGAGUACAAUUCAAUAGUUGAAUAUAAAAUUAUGAUUGUUUUAGAUCCGUUUCAUCUUAUAUUAAUGCUUUGAAUUAUAAUAAAAAUAUUAAUAUUUAUAACACAAAUAAUAAUAUUUUCAAUAUUUAUACAUUCAAUUAUAAUAAAAAUAAUAAUAUUUAUGGCACAAAUAAUAAUAAUAAUAAUAAUUUUUAAUUUUAUCCUUCAAAACAACUAUAUGAUUUUUCUUUAAAGGUUAUUAUUAUUAUAUUAUAUACAUAAAGCUAAAUCAUAUGGGAAAAGUCAUGUUCAUCAAGACCCAUAGCACUACGGAUUGCACAUUUGAUGGGGCAUGGUGUGCUGCAGCCCCACACACUGACACCUGGUGCAAGGGCAUUCAUGCCUAGCCACAAAGAGUUCCAAGGCUGCAUGGGGGAGAGGUUAAGCCCCAGGUUUCGAACACCUGGUGUUGGGUCCGCUGACCUGCAUGCUAGGUCCGAACAUGGACCCCCUUCUAUUGGGUCAGGCGUCCUCACCCAAAUCACUUGGGUCUAGACAAGGGUCGAGCCCUUAACCCCCUUGGUUCUGUCCACGGUCCAAUCCCAUACCCCUUAGGGUUCAGACAUGGCCUCAUCCCCAACGCCCUUGGGUCUAACCACGGACGCAAACCCCAACCUGAUUGGGUCCGGACACGGAACCAACCCCCUUGGGUCAAGACAUGAACCCAUCAGGUUUGGUCCUGACGCGAACCCAACACACCAUGUGUCCGUACUCCGAAGGACCCAAACACCAACCCCCUUGGGUCCAGACAAGGACCCAACCCCCCUUAGUCUGGACACGGACGAACACAACCCCUUUAGGUCCGGAUGCGAAAGGACCCAAACUCCUUAGGUCCGGACACGAAAGGACUCAAACCCCAACCAAUUUGGGUCUAGAUACUGACCCAACCCCCUUGGGUCCAGAAAUGGACCCAUCCCCCUUGGGUCCAGACACGCCCCAAUCCCCAACCCCCUUGGGUCCAGACACGUCCCAGUUGGGCCUUGGGUCCAGCCAUGACCCAAAUCAAAAUUAGAAUGUUAAUGAACUCACCAUUGCCAUUAAGCUCCAUUGAGUGUAAACAAUGAAUUUAUAAAAUAGUCAAAAGUGGGAUGUCGUGAUUUCAACAAUGCCGUUUCAGAAAAUUGAUAGUCAUGAUGAAAAUAAGAAUACAGAAUUGUUGAGUUGAAACGUGUACGCCUGAAAUGUAUAGUGAUGAUGGUGGAACUGAUGCGGUUGUAUAGCAGCACCAAAAAGUACUUUCCUAAUGAUUUCCUUGCGGAAGAAAUUAUGGCAUGUUGGAAAACGAUGCCACCCUAACAAUCCAAGAGUUCAAAUUCAACUUGAAUAAAAGCAUGCUAAUUUAGAGGAGAAAGGAUCCAAGAACAUCAUGAAACAGGGGAUUGUUCUAUUUUGUUAUGUAACAAUCUCAACAGCUAAUUAAGAGGUUAGAUUGUAGGGUCUAAUUUCAAAUGCAAGACUCUAUUGAUUCUCAUCAUUAUAGUAAUAAAACCAUGUACAUUUUUAUUAAAUUAAGAGGAAACACAAAAUUAAACAAGAAAAUCUUAAGAUUUCAGAAAUAAAUCUAACAUUGUCGAACGGAUUGUGACCAAACCCAGAUUUGGUGGAAGAUAGAAAUAUGAAAAGAGAGCAGAAAUUGAUGGUCUCUUCUGCUUUUCCUGGCCUCCUUGUUUUGCAUAUAAGGUUCGGCCAUCUAAGCCUUUCAUGGGGUUUGAAUUUCCUGGCCUCCUGAGUUAAUUUCAUCUAACCCAUAUAAGGCUAGACUUGAAUAUUUCUAUAUAUACACUUAAGGCUGGAUGAGCUUGUCUCCUUAGCAGGCCUUCUUAGGCUUUUGUGCUGCCAAACUAUGUCAGCUCUAAGCUCAUUAUUAUCUGAAUGAAAUCAUUGCAUACUUGCUAUCAAGAAGAUUUUUUUCCUGAUGGAUUUCUCUCACAUUGCAACAGCAGUAAUCAAUCAUGGCACCCAACUCAGUUGAAACGGUGAUCGGUACAAUGACUUCAAGUCACGGUUACCUCUUCUUUUCUUUUUCUUUCUUUUUUUUUGUUACGAAAAAACAAGUAAAGUGUAUAUCUAUGAAAUUAAGUUACAGAAAAUGUAAAAUACACUUGUCAUGGCUGAUUGAAAUCGUGGAAGAAAAAACUAGAGGAAAGAUAAUCGAUUGACCCCCAACGAAGACCAAUGCAGAGGAAUUUCAAAGGGGAAAAACGGUGGCGGCUUUAUGAUGCAGUUCAUCUAAAGAUAAACCUAACCUGAAUUAAUUGUUCGGUCUCCUUCAAAGCGAAAUAACUUUGCCAGGUUUCCUCUCAGUGACAUUACAUUUUUAAAGUUAAAAGUGCUGAAGCACAAUUCAAAGAAUAAGUAGUAUUAAACUUAACAAGCUAGUUCAAUGGAGGAGAAUGGUGUGCUGAAACACUAAGAUUUUCAAAAAAAUUGAAGCAUAUCAGAUCCAUGCUGCUGCAUUCGCAAGAAACUAGCACCCAUCAACAAUGUGCUAAAUGUCAAUGCAGAGCUUUAAAUCAUCUACAGAGGCUCAUGAAGAAUAUAGGCAUAAAUGAUAACAGAUAACACACCAGAGCACUCUACGUAAACUGAUAUCUUUAGAAAAUUCAAAGGCAUGAAUGAAAAAGAAAAGCUAGAAAUAUCUAAGUCAGCUCUUAAUUUGUAACAGUCCACAACUUCAUGUUUGGUGUGUACUGUAAACUAUGCUUUCCACAUAAUCAUGAGCUUCAUCUGCAAAAAACCAUUUUCACUUCUUGGGACAAGGGAUCAAAAAAAUACAAACCUGUUGUUGGAUUACAUUCAUAAUUUAUAUCAAGCCCUAGCUGCUGCUCGAAGGAAGUCUUUCAAGGAAAAAAAUCAGGAACAAAAAAUGCUGAGAGGUCCAUCUUGGAGGUCAGAAAGCUGGAGUUCUACCUAGAAGAAGAUACCUCUGGAGAGAGUAAUAAAGGAAGCCUGAACUGCUUAGAGUUCUCUUACCGAAGCUUCAAGUUAAGAUCAUUUUCAUUUCAAUUUGGAUGUAGAAAUAAUGAUGGGAUAUGAAAAUUAGGUUAGUUAUAUUUUGAAAAAGGGUAUAUAUGAAAGUUAAAUCCUCUGUUCAAAUGAACAAAGGGCUCAACUUGAGCAAGAGUUAACAAGCUAUCCAUCGAGGUCAAUGGAACAUACCACUGAUAUUAAUCUUUUACUAUUUAGGGGAAUUCAUAAAUCCCGUAUUACAAGAAGCCAAGAAUUGGUUGGUUGCUCAGCACAACAUAACUGAUACAAACAAUUACUGAUACAAGCACAAGGACAAACACAAGUCACAUCAAAACAGAAAGGCUAAGCAACAAGAACACUUCCACAGAGCACUUCUCACAGGCAAAUUGCUAAACAUGCAGUGAGCAACCAUUGAUUUGGAAUGCGACUGCUUCUCCACAGAGGAUUACAACAAAUUCAGAAAGCAGCCCACACGCUCCUGAUAAGAUCCAAUCACGUUCUGAAUCUGGACAACUUGCAAAAGUUUAUAGCCAAAAAGCUGUAGCAAGUGUCAAUGCAUUCUUCAAUGAAGUAAAACCACCUACGUCGCCAAUGCGGAUUUAUGCACAAUACUGCUGCAAUUGUCAACACCAUAGUUAUGUAAAACACACCAAAGCUGGCAUAGAAACUGUCCAUGUCUAUGAAGCCACCAUCUCCAUUGAAAUCGUUAGGCACUCUUGCGGAUGGUGAUUCUGUUUUGUCGCAACUGUUUUGCAAUGGAGGUCCACAAAGAAGAGGAUUCCCUUUAUAACUGCUCUCAUCAAAGGUACCAAAUUGAUUUUUCAUCUCCAGUGUUCUUCCUGACAAAUUAUUGUACGACACGUUGAAAACUUCUAGAAAGGUCAGUUCAACGAGUUGUUCUGGAAUUCUCCCAUUCAAGGUGUUGUGAGAAAGAUCCAAGCUCUCUAUCUGCUUCAGAUUGGAGAAAGAUGGAGGGAUCAAUCCAGUGAGAUUAUUUCGCGACAGAUUUAGAGAGUAUAUCCCACUUAAGUUUCCCCAUUCUGUCGGGAUUUCUCCAGUGAAUCUGUUACAAGAAAGGUCCAUAACAGACAUGUAACGAAGGAUAUCGCCUUCGUAAGAGUAGAAAUUUUUCUUUGUUGUAAGCUCUACAGAUAUUUUUACACUGAUCUCUGGCCACAAAAUUUUGCCAUAAAGAUAAAAACCUUCGUGCUCCAAUUCUCUUUCCCCCAUGGAUGCAAAUAUUUCUUUCCGGCUUCCAUCAUCUUGUGAGUACGUACUAGUGACAACCCAAGUUUUUUCAUAUGAUGCCGUAAAAUCUAAAUUGCUCAAACAUGAGGGUAACAGACUAGAAAAAUUAUUUUCUGAAAGAUCCAAUAUGCUUAAUUUCCUUAACAAGCAUAAUUGAACAGGAAGUUCCCCAUUGAAUUGAUUAGAUUUCAAAAGAAGAAAACUCAAUUCCGAAAGUCUAUCAAUCCAAUUUGGAAUUGGCCCAGUUAAGUUGUUAUAGCCGAGAUCUAAUGUCACCAAAGAAGAGAUGUUAUAAAAAGCAUUUGGCAGUGGACCGGUCAAUCGAUUUCCGUAUAGGUGGACAUAGCGUAAAUGCGGUGCAUAAAAGCCCAACGGCAAAGACCCAGACAAAUUGUUUUCAGAAAGAUCUAAAAAUUCAAGCCUAGAAGGAUUGAAAUAUUCUUUUGGAAUGGUACCUUCAAACUGAUUUCUGGACAAAUCAAUUGCCUGAAAGGGGUAUAUUGAAGAGUUCCCA
RNAcentral lists this long non-coding RNA (58656 nucleotides) under Populus tremula. Its description in RNAcentral is "long non-coding RNA (PTRE_LNC002436)". The stretch from base 42936 to 43091 matches the Rfam family "MIR2912 microRNA precursor family". The record is from RNAcentral. Lineage: Eukaryota; Viridiplantae; Streptophyta; Magnoliopsida; Malpighiales; Salicaceae.